This 51994-nucleotide long non-coding RNA is filed under the name Elaeis guineensis (African oil palm). RNAcentral describes it as "long non-coding RNA (EGUI_LNC019058)". The stretch from base 4303 to 4408 matches the Rfam family "Plant small nucleolar RNA R71". Lineage: Eukaryota; Viridiplantae; Streptophyta; Magnoliopsida; Arecales; Arecaceae. The record is from RNAcentral.
CUUUCUAUUAGGUUUUAUCGUUUUUUCAAGAAUAUGUUUGAUCUUCCUAUUGGAGACUUCAACUUGGCCACUUGUCUGGGGGUGAUAAGGUGUGACAACUUUAUGGGUUAUUUCAUAUUUUUUCAUUAAAUUUUCAGAGUGCUUAUUCGUGAAGUGUGUACCCCCGUCACUUAUGAUGGCUCUUGGGCACCCAAACCGACUAAAAAUGUUAUGUUGAAGGAACUUGAUCACAAUUUUAUGAUCAUUGGUUUUGGUUGCUAUUGCCUCUAUCCAUUUUGAAACAUAGUCUACUGCGACUAAAAUAUACUCAAAUCCAAAUGAGGAAGGAAAGGGUCCCAUGAAAUCAAUCCCCCAAGCAUCGAAAAUUUAUACGACAAGAAUAAGGGACAGGGGCAUCAUAUCUUUUCUUGAAAUAUUUCCUGUUUGUUGGCAUCGCAUGCAAUUAUGGCUGAAUUCAUGUGCAUCUUUGAAUAGUAUCGGCCAGUAAAAUCCACUCUGCAACACCUUUGCUGCAGUUUUUCUUUCGUUAAAAUGUCCCCCACAUGCCAGCGAGUGACAGAAGGUAAGAAUACUUUGGACUUUACACUCGGGGAUACAACGUCGGAUCACUUGAUCUGAGCAAUAUUUGAACAACUCUGGUUCUUCCCAGAAAUAGUAUUUUACUUGGGAAAGAAAUCUUUUUUUCUCUUGUUGGGUCCAAUAAGACGGGAUCUGUCCCAUUACCAAGUAAUUGAUUAUAUAAGCAAACCAAGGAAGAACAGUGGAAGAGAUUGAAAAGAGUUGUUCGUCCAGAAACCUAUCUUUGAUCGCUUCUUUAUUGUGUUCUAUCAAGAUCCUAGAAAUAUGAUAUGCUACCAAGUUUUCGGAACCCUUUUUGUCUAAAAUUUCUAAAUCAAAUUCUUGUAAUAGAAGGAUCCAUCUAAUCAGCCUUGGUUUUGUAUCCCUUUUUGAUAGCAGAUGCUUCAGUGCUGCAUGAUCAGAGUAUACCAAGACCUUGGAGCCCAGAAGGUAUGAUCUAAUUUUUUCUAAGGCAAACACAACUGCGAGCAACUCUUUUUCGAUCGUGGUAUAGUUCAAUUGGGCAUCUGAAAGAGUUUUGCUUGCAUAAUAUAUUACAUAUGGUUCUCGAUUAAACCUUUGCCCUAAUACUGCCCCUAUAGCAUAAUCAGAAGCAUCACACAUAAUUUCGAACGAUAGGGUCCAAUUCGGAGGUUUUAUGAUCGGUGCAGUGGUUAAAGCAGUUCUGAGCGUAUUGUAAGCAGCCAUGCAAUCUUCAUUAAAAUUGAAAGAAUUUUUUUUGGCUAGGCGAUUGCACAAAGGUCAUGAGAUUUUGCUAAAAUUUUUAAUGAAACGCCUAUAGAAACCCGCAUGGCCUAAAAAGGAUCGUACUUGUUUAACCGAGGUUGGGGGAGGUAAUUUCGAAAUUACUUCAAUCUUGGCUUUAUCUACUUCGAUCCCUCGCUCGGAUACAAUAUGUCCGAACACGAUUCCCUCACGAACCAUAAAAUGGCUCUUCUUCCAACUUAAAAUCAGAUUUGUUUCCACACAUCGUUGAAGGACCUUGGUUAGAUUCUAAAGACAGUCAUCAAAGGUAGGGCCGAAUAUCAAAAAAUCAUCCAUGAAGACCUCUAGGAAUUUGUCAACCAUAUCAGAAAAGAUGGCCAAAAUACACCGUUGAAAAGUGGAUGGUGCAUUGCAGAGACCGAACGGCAUACGUCUGAAUGCGAAUGUUCCAAAUGGGCAUGUGAAGGUGGUCUUUUCUUGAUCAGUAGGGAACACCGGAACCUGAUUAUAUCCUGAAUAUCCAUCCAGGAAACAGAAGAAACUGUCCUGCUAGCCAUUCUAAGAUUUGGUCAAUAAAAGGCAAAGGAAAAUGAUCUUUUCUAGUGACGGCAUUCAGCUUGCGGUAGUCAACAUAUACUCGUCAAUCAGUUGUUGUACGAGUAGGAAUUAACUCGCCCUCGUCGUCCUCUACUACAGUAAUACCUGAUUUUUUAGGUACUACCUGAGUUGGACUACCCAUUGGCUAUCCAAAAUCGGGUAGAUGAUACCAGCAUCAAGCCAUUUGACUACUUCCUUUUUCACAACUUCCCGCAUAUUCGGAUUCAAUCUUCGUUGCAUAUCCCUAUGUGGUUUGGCCUCAACCUCACAGUGAAUGCGAUGCAUGCAAACAGAAGGAUCUAUACCUUUUAGAUCGGCAAUCGUCCAUCCUAUGACUUCUUUAUGCUUUUUGAGCACCCUUACAAGUUGUUCCUCCUGGUCAGUGGUUAGGUCGGAUGCAAUGAUCACUGGUAAAGUAUCAUUAGGUCCGAGAAAAGAAUAUUUCAGCAUGGCAGGAAGAGGUUUUAGCUCUAGGAUAGGUGGUGCUUCUAAGGAUGGUACUAGAGGGCUUGAUUGAGUUGGUAAUUGCUCAUAUUUUACAGUCCAAAGGGGAAUGGUAUUAAACUUGGGAGGUUCUAGCAAAGCAUGUACUUCAGUGUACCCAUCAAUAUCCAAAUUAUCUACUCUAAGAUGUGUUAGGCAUGUCUGUAAAGGAUCUGAGUUGAGCAAUGCAAGGGCGUUAUCUUCUACAACUUCCUCUAACAUGUUGAUCUCGUUAUGGUCGUACGUGGGUGGUCCUUGAAAUGCAUUGAAAAUAUUUAAUCUCAGCUUCUUAUUUCCGAAAGAUACAUCCAUAACCCCGAUCCUACAAUUUAUACAAGCAUUAGCGGUUGCUAGGAAGGGUCUUCCUAGAAUAAUUGGAAUUUGGCUAGGGUUGCUACCAGAUUCCAUAUCCAGCACAAGAAAAUCAACAGAAAAGUAAAAUUCAUCUACUUUCACCAAUACAUCUUCUAGCAUUCCACGGGGUACCUUAAUGGAUCGAUCUGCUAGUUGUAAAGUUACCGUUGUAGGUUUUAACUCUCCAAAUCCAAAUAGAUCAUAAACAGAGCUUGGGAGAAGAUUGACACUUGCACCCAAAUCUAAUAAUGCCUUUUUAAUCGUGAGAUCCCCUAUGACACACGAUAUAAUUGGGGUACCUGGAUCCUUUAGUUUGGGUGGGGUACUUUGCUGAAAAACUGAGCUGGCCUGCUCAGUUAGGUGUAUUUUUCUUGGUAUCUGUGCUUUAGAUUUUCGUUUUUGUGUGCACAGAUCCUUAAAGAAUUUGGCAUAUGCAGGAACUUGCUUAAUAGCAUCAAGAAGCGGUAAGUUUAUUUGAACCUGUUUGAAAAGUUCUAACAUUUCUUUCAUCUUAAUACCCUUUUUGUCGAAAAACAAAAGAGAUUCUAAAGCACUGGAAAAUGGAGCCUUAGGUGCAGGUGCUGGAUUAACAGAUUCUUCCCUCUCUUUCGGUUUCUUCUUUUCUGGUGUGGCCGGCAUUGGUGGCUCCGGUUGUUGGGUUACUUCAGGUUGAUUUAAGAUUUUUCCGCUUCUAAGGGUCAUAAUCGAUUUGGCAUGUUCGAAAAAAAUUUCGGGACUGGUGGAGCUCUCAGCCAUGUACUUGUCCUUUUGGGUUAUUGAUGGGUUGACUUGGUAAUUUACCUUCCUCCCUUCUACUAAAAGCUGUUGCUAACUGUCCUAUCUGGAUUUCUAGCUUUGCUAUUGAUUGUGUAUGGGAGUGAAGGAGUUGGGUGUUCAUUUCUAGUCCUUUAAGUGCUUGCAGCACCUUUCCUUCAAAAGCUGAGCUAUAAGUAUUUAGGGUGGGUUGAGGACGGUUCUGGUAUUGUGACUGGGGUGGAUGCCUAGAAGUCGCAGCUGGAUAACCUGAUCCUUGUUGCACCGAAGGAAUCAUUGGUUGUAGUUUCUAUGAAAAAUUCGGAUGGUUCUUCCAUCCUAGAUUGUAUGUACUAGAAUAGGGAUUGUUCGUGCUAGAAUAAAGAUUAUUCCCUGGUCUAUGAGUGGUUUGGGCUUGAUGGACUUGCUCUUGUAUAUAUUCAGAAAACUGUGGUGCAGUUGGACACUCACUCACAAAGUGAGUGGGGCUUGAACAUAGUGCACAUAUAUUUUGCAUAUGACUAGAUUGAGAAGGAGAAUGUCCUAUACUUAAUAAUCGAUCUAAUUUUUGGGACAAUUCAUCUACCUUAUGAUGGAUAUCUAUGGCAUUUCCUACUUCAUAGAUUCCACCCCUCCUUGGGUUUAACAUGGGUUUGUCUCUAACAGAAACAGGCAUACAAUGUAAUGAAUUUUCACUUAAAGUUUCAAAUAGUUAUCAUGCCUCAUCUUCACUUUUGAGCAUGAAUGUCCCACCGCAUUAUGCAUCAACCAUUUGUCAGUGUCUUUCAGAUAGCCCAUCAUAAAAAUAUUGGACUAACUGCCACUUGGGUACAGCAUGAUGGGAACAUUUUCUAAUAAGUUUCUUUAACACCUCCCAUGUUUCAUGAAAUAUUUCUCCAUCUAGUUGGAAAAAACUAGUUAUGGCUUUUCUUAUUUGAUUAAUUUUUCCUAUGAAAAAAUAUUUCUUAAGAAAUUCUCCUUAGAGCUGGUCCAUGGAAUCCAAAGUAUGUAACCAAUAUUUGGCUUUGUCUUUGAGUGAGAAAGGAAAUAAUUUCAAUCUAAGGGCAUCAUCGGAGAAGUUGUGAAUCUUGACUGUUGAGCAUAUCUCAAGAAAUUCGUCAAGAUGCUUAUAAGGAUCCUCGUUACUAAGUCCAUAAAAUGAGGGUAACAUUUGAAUUAUACUGGACUUAAUUUUAUAUUGGGUGGCCUCUACAGGGGGCACUUGAAUACAAGAAGAGUAGGUAUAUGUGGAAGGAGUAAAAUACUCCUUCAACUGUCUAGACGGAUCUUUCUCCUGAUUUCGGUCCAUAUUUCUACGUUUGUUAGCUCUAAAGGUUCUUUCUAUUUCUGAAUCAAAAGGUAGGAUUUCUGGUCGUAACGAUCUACGAUCAAGCAUACACUUUAAAAUAGAAAAUUUUUAAUUUUUAUAGAAUUUUUUUUUAAUUUUAAAUUUUUCAAACACUUACUCAAACAACUUAUUUCUACCCUAGGUUAUCUUAAAUCUAGACAGCUCCUAACUGCCAAAGCUAUCUUGGAGCCCUCCAAGUUAGAAACCGACUAACUAACUAGCCAGGUAAGGGUAAGAUUGAUGGGAGGCUCCUCGUACUUUCGCAACAGACCUAAUUAGAGAACCAUCUUUCUUCGGGCUCUUGUCCCUGAACCCCUUUCCUAGACACCAAUCAACUAGUCAAUCCUGAUCCGGUCCAACUCUGUCGAGUGCCUUGUCCUAGUGAGCUCGAACACCUUAGUGGUCAACGUCUAAUUAAUCUUAAGUUAGGCUUAGGUAUGCAAAAUGAAGAUUAUGGUUUGUCGGCUAAGGGUGAUCAAAUCUCCACUUUAUCUGAUUAAUGGGUUAAAUACCCUUAAAGUUAAUUAUGGAUAUGCAAUGCAAAACAAAUAAGGUGUCCAAUCGAGUUAAAAUUUUUAUAUUUUAGAUUAUGCUAUAUUAAUUAAGUGUUAUGAAAUAUCUUUUUUUUUAGGAUUUAUGGUUCUAUCUUUUUUUUAUAGAUAUUUAUUUAUUUAUUUAUAUAUAUAUAUUUUUAGGUUUUACAAAAAAAUAAAUUUAAAUAAUUAAGCAAUAAAUCACUAAGCUAAAAAAAAUCUCUAAAAUUAAAAAGCACUAAAUUAAUUAUGCAAAUAAGGUAAUCUAGUUAGGAAGCAAUAAAAAAAAUUAAAGCAAGAAAUAAAAACUGAAAAGCUGAAAAAUAUAUGUUUUUUUCUUUCAAAUUAACUGUAUCAAGAUCCCCAGCAACGGCGCCAAAAUUUGAUGCACGUCGUCAGGGCAUCAAAAAAAUAAAUCCAAUUCUAACUUAUCACAUAGCUAGGGUGAAUCGGGAUCAUAUCCACGGGGAUCUCGGACAAUUGUUUAAUAAUUAUUAAAAAAAGAAGAUAAAUUUUAAUUAAUUAUUAAGAAAGCAGUAAUUUUAAUUUAAUUCACAAAAAAAAAUCAAAUAGGAAAGAAGCCUCGAAAAUUCAGAAUCCACCAUGCAAAAUAGAUUUUAUAUUUUUUUUUACUUUUAUGUAGCAAUGAUAUAUUUGUAAUUGAGAUGGAGUGUAAUUUACCUCGGAUAGGUAUGAACCAUAUCCUUGGAUUAUGGCUCAUCCAUCCAGAGUAUAGAUUACCUUAUCUCAACUACAAGUUAAAGAUUUGAACUAAAAAUAUAAUAAUUUAUCUCUCCUAAGUACGCACCGUACCUGUAGAUCACGGCGUGUCUGUGAAGAGUAUAGGUUGUGCACGCUGAAUCCAAACCUCUAAAGAAGAAAGAAUAUCAAAUAAAUAUGAAGCACAAAAUAAUUCUUUAUUUCAUUGCAACGAAAAAUAAAUACAAGAAAAAAAAAUAAAUUUAUGUUGCUGGCUUCAUCGUCUUCUCGAGUUGGAGAAAUCUAGCCUUCCAUGGAACUCUUACGCACUGACAUCCUGUUGCUGAGGAGACUCUUGGACAACAACUGUAAAAUAUUUGAUGGCAACAGAGGGAGAGACAUGGAUUUUGAUGUGGAGAAGAAUGAUGAAGGUGUCCACCCCCCCGACGUCUUCUACGAUCUUCUUUUUAUAGACUUUAUUUUACGCGUUCAAGCCGUAUUUGUUUCGCAUCUUAACAGCCUCUUCUUAUCCGUAUUUUUUUCAUAAAACCGUACGUCUUUCCAUGUUUAUUUUAUGUUUAGCCGUUCUUUCUACGAUAGCUUCCACGGAAUUUAAACCACGCUCACCGUUUGCCAAUGCAUGUCCAUCCCAUGCAUUCAAGUUGCUGGGUCCCACAUACUUUUUAAAUGCCUUAGUGAUCACACGCCAAGCCCAGCCAACAUCUUCUUCAUUUAAUAUUCCCAUGUCGGUCUCUACUUUAAAUCACCCAUUACGUGAAACUUGUUGUUGACUUUUUAAACUAUUCCCUUUUCAAACUUCAUGUGCUGUGGACUAGACCAUGCAACCAACUCUUGUAUACCAAAGCUUCUGUACAUUGUGUGGGCUACAUGAAGAGGUUUUGGGCCUUCCAUUAUUUCAGGUUUUUGAAUUUUAUUCUGAACUUGAGUUAGGCUUGAUUUUGAGCAUUUCUUGGGUUUGGACUCAAUCUCCUAAUUACAUGCAAAACAAAUUAAGAAGCAUUAAAUACCGACUAAUAAAGAUUAAAUAAUAUAAUAUUUAAUACUUCUAACAUUAUAAUUCAUGUAUUGAUCAGUCGUCGGAUGCAUCAACUAGCCCAAAUUCAGGAACAAUAGGUGCCUCAUGUGGUGGGACAUUCUCUUCUGCACUAGACUCCCCACUAUCACUGCCAUCAGACUCCGCAUCAUCAUCCUCAUCUUUUUCAUCAGUAGGAUUAGGAUCAUAACUGACAACAGCUUCAUUUUCGAACAAAGUUGUAUCAGCCACUGCGGUUCCCAAUCCUCCAAUCCGGACAUGGCAUGCAUGUGGCUGAUUAAGUGAUACAGGGUCAUUAGCUUCAUGCUCCACAUGCUCCAUGGUAGUUGCCACAUAACUAGGACCGACCCCUGCAUCAUCAAAUGCGGCAUUACUUCACUAUUGAUACACAGCCUCUUCCCCUACUAUGCACCAAUGAUUAUCAGUUAUGGAUAUAGCUGGAGUGCCUCCAUACUCAUAUCCAGUUUCAUCGAUCAUUGGAGAUGCAUCAAGUAGAGAUGCCCCCAUGCUUGACUGUGUAAAUAGAGUAGAUACAUACUGAGACACACUUACAUGCUGUUCACCACCACCUGAAACUUCUACCACUGCUGGCUCGAUAAAAAUUUCAACUGCCAGAAACAUCCCUUGUAAUGGGAUGCCCAAGACGGUAUACAUUGUCUGAUCAUCUUUAAUAGGUAUAACCAAAUAUUGUCCAACUGUAUGAAUUGAAAAUCUACACAUUAGAAAAACUCCACAUUGAUUGGGAUCCCAUCUAGUGACAGUAUAGCAGAUCCACACAAGUUCUUGAUAUGUUGCGUUACGAUCUACCAUGGCCAUCUGAGUCUGUCCACCGUUAUAAUAUGCACCGUUAGCAUCACGAUUGAUCCUUCCAUCCCAAUGGAAGAUAACAGUGAUAAAUCUUGAAUCCAUUUUUCAAAAAUUAUUGUGAGAACUAACUGCAUUAAUAAACAAAUUGUAUGGCACAUUUUUUAAAAUGAAUCCCUAAGUUUGAAAUGCAUGGCAGAUGCAUUUCAAACUUGAGUCCCUAAGUUUGACAAGCAGAUCUUCAGCAAUGAAGACAUUGGGUCUUUGGCUAGCUGCAGUUUUUCGUGCCAAUAAGGUGAUCGUGAUAGAUUUUGCAAAAAUUCCUACAACAGAGGCAAACACAAAGGUGUUCCAUCGAGUUUUUUGGACAUUCGAUCCAUGCAUUCAGGGCUUCCAGUUCUGCCGCCCACUGAUUAAUAUCGAUGCAACGCAUUUAUACAGCCGAUAUAAGAAUACUCUCAUGAUAACUGUAGCAAGAGAUAGAAAUGAGAGUAUCUAUCUGCUAGCAUUUGCCAUUUGUGAAGACGAGAGCCAUAGUAGUUGGUCAUGAUUUUUAUGGCAUUUGCACCAUUAUAUGACACAUGAUCGUAUGGAGAUUAGUAUAAUUUCAAACCGGCACAAAAGAAUAUUAGCUGCUAUUUCAGAUGAAUUUGUUGGGUGGACACCACCAUAUGGGUAUCACAGAUUAUGUCUUAAAUAUAUUGAGGCUAACCUAUACGGUCGAUUUCAUGAUGCAGUAUUUUUUACUUAUUUUCAUCAAACUGCAAAAUAAAAUCAGCCCUAAAAGUUUGAUUGAAGCAUGCAACACAUUGAGAGAACAUGACCAAUUGCUUCCAAUAUCUGAAAUCAUAUCCACUUGACGAUCUGAAUAAAUGGUCGCUGAUGCAUGCAUGGGUGGAUGUAGGUAUGGAAUAAUGAAUACCAAUCUAUCUGAAAACUUCAAUAAGGUAUUGAAGAGGGCUCGCUCAUUGCCCAUUACCACUCUUGUUUCCCUUUCCUUCACACACAUGUCGAAGUGGUUUAGCAUCAGAUGUGCAAUAACGGCACGGAGAAGGGAGGCCGGCAGGAUAUUCAUAGAUAAGAUUAAACGAAAGUUAAAUGAACGCCAGCCAAAGUCAAGAGAGUAUUGUGUGGUUAAGUACAAUAAUCAAUCGAACUUGUAUGAGAUUCGGUUAAGACGAAGAUAUUAUAGCCCCGAUGAACCUGAUUAUAUACAGAUAGUCGACUUGGGCAUGCACAUGCACAUGUAGGAAGUGGCAGUUACUACAUUAUCCAUGCUCCCAUUUGUUUGCUGUAUGUGCCAGUGAGAACUUGAACUGGAAGCAGUUCAUUGACGACUGUUAUACUAUUGUACAUUAUGAGCAGUCAUAUGCAUCUACCUUCCAUCUCUCAGAGAGUCCAUGUUAUUGGACUGAGUAGACUGCAUCUAGACUCAUACUGCACCCAUCCACAAGAAGACAAGAAAAGGGGCAUCCACAAUCGAGGGGAUCCAAGAUGAUAUGGACGCAAUGGAGUGCCCAAAUAUUGUACGGUGCGGAUUGUGUAAAGAGAUAGGGCACAACCAAUGUAGAUACCCCCAAUGGCACUGAUUUAUGUAUUUAUUCAUAUUAUAUAGACUGACUUUAUAUAUCAUUUGUGUUCCUUUCAAAAUAUUUUAGUUAUAUAAUCAUGUCGUGUAAACUUUUUUCAAAUUAUCCUAUGUAGCAUGUGUUGCUUAUCAUCUUUGAUAUUUUUUGGUAGUAAGAUAGUCUUUUUAUUUUGUGCCUUAGACAUGGUAAGUUCGGACUCCGAUGUUCAUCCGGAGUCGACAGACCCUACCAUGUUGUAUCUCCAGACUCGACACCACAGUGAUCUUAUAUAUUCUGGGGAGGACAUAGGGCCCCUAUGCCGUAGACACAGAGGCUCGACAGCUAUGCACGUUUGAUGGCCACAUGAGAGGAUCCGAGAAUAUCUUCAUAUGGCUGAUUUUGAUGGAGUAUUUAAAAUAUAUGAUAUACAACUAGAUUGGGCCCUCAUCACAGCCAUGGUAGAGCGAUGGCAUCAGGAGACAUAUUUUUCACUUGCGCAUCGAGGAGGCGACGAUCACGUGGCAGGAUGUUGCUGUUCUUCUAGGAUUACAGGUGUACGGGCCUGCCAUCACCGAUACUGCAGGAAUCAUCUAGUCAGAUCUAUGUGAAGAGUUAUUCGGGAUUAGACCGCCAGAGUCGAUGUUGUCGGAAUCUUUGCUCAAAUUUUACUGGCUUCGCGACACGUUCCACCACUUACCGAAUGAUGCAGAUGAUGAGACCGUACAGAGGCAUGCUUGAGCAUUUAUUCUUUACCUUAUCAGAGGUCAUCUGUUCACCGAUAAGUCCGAUUUCUAUGUGCAGUUGUUGUACUUACCCCUGUUACGUGAUCUCCACAUGUAGACAAUUGAGUUAGGACAAUGCUACCUUAGCCUUCUUGUAUCGCGAGCUCUACAGGGCCACCAGACUAGAUGCAUGUGAGAUAGCUAAGCCAUUGGUCUUACUGCAGCUUUAGGUGUGAGGGUAUUUACACAUCGGACGACUAGAUAGAAUGCUCCCCAGGGUAAGAGCCCACCAACCAAUGAUGGGAAGUGAUGUAGUAGGACAUGGCCUGUUAGAUGAAAAUGAUACUGGUUUUGAGGACCCAUUUGACGACAUACAAUACAACCAGACUGAUCUACUGGAACGCAGGUAUGUAAUCAGUAUCACUGAUUUUAUAUGUAAAUGACUACAUAUUUUAGCACAAUAACAUAUUGACUUUGUUUUGAAAAAGUGAAGGACUCGACUGAUUGGUGCUAGCAAUCCAUACAUAGUCAUAUACUAUAGAAAUCAACUUGACCAGCAGCGCGACAAUCAGAUGGUGUAGGUGCCUUACACACCAAAGAUAUUAGCCACAUUGCCCGAGGUAUGCCGAUCAGAUCAGUACAUAUGAAGAACACGCACAUCUCUCAUUUGCUUCGACAUCGUGGAGAUCUAUUGUCCGAAGCGUAUGAUGCGAUAAUUUGGCAUGCAUCAGGACGCUCUCCCAGCAUGUGACACUCGUGACGGUCUCUACAAUUUUGAUCGACGAGGGCAGCAUCACCACAAUUGGGGUAGAGAGCAUCGGGAGCAUAUUGACGCAUUGGAGCGAUGAGAGAAUUUGAUUGUGGAUGGCCCAAAUAUGCUCCCCAUGAUGGAUUAUUAUGAUCCAUAUAUGGUGUAGUACAAGAGCAUCACUAGAUGAUUUAUCUUGCCAUUGAUGAGUGAAUGGUCUAGGAUGAGGUUCCGUCCUUCAAACAGCGUGAUGGACAUUGUGGUAAGUACAUUUUGCUUUUGUCCCACUUUGUUAUGUUGUUAUUGUUAUAUUUAUGAAUAAUAUUUGUUUUCUUUUUCAUACUGAUAGUUUCAGAGGAUCACAUCGCUACACCACCGAACAAGGAGCGGCUUCCAUUUGAUCACUGUUGGAUGCAAAGAUCGAGCAUUUGCCAAUAUUAUGGACAGUCUUGUCAACACUAUGCGAAUCAUCUCAGAGGAUAGACGACUUCAGACUGCACCAUCGGCGGAUGAUCCAAGUACCUCAUCAUAUGCCCAGCACACCUCAUAUCCUGGCUUCUCGGACUUCAACCUCCCCAUAGAUGAUGUGUCUAUAUCACAGAGGAUGAGCAAGCCAGGAGACACGUCGUACCGACCCGAUGAACAACACAUCAAUCAGCAUGGGAGGGCCAAAAGCAGGAGUCGACUGAGAGUUUUUCGAGGUAGAUGCCAGGCACAUGUUGAUAGGCCGAGCAUGCCAGCACCUCCCUCCCCGCCAGUUGAUACCAUGCCUAAGCCAUCACGACAGCAACCAGAGGUGACACACGUUUACGAGAGACGGACGCGGAGGCUCCAGUAUCUUGAUAUAUACGUCUUUCGAUAGUUGUGAUACUUGUACAUAUUUUUUUUGCUAAAAAAUUUUGUAAUCAUCAACUAUUGGAUUACAUUAUUUUGAAAUUAAUGUUAUAAUUUUUUUUUAUCUGAAUGCACAUGAAUUAAUUUUUGUUGGUUAUGCAAAAAAUUAAUUGUUGAGCUUGAUAUAGAUUAUAUGGCUGGAGUUUGGGAUUGUCAAGCAUUUCUAAAAUAUCCUAUCAUGUUAAUUAUAAACAAGGUUGGAGAAAUUUGAAUUUGCACCUCAGGAAAGCCAAGAAUUUUUGAAUAGAUAAAGAUGCUUGGAGAAUGCCAAAAUGAGCAUUUCAUCAAGUUGGAGAUGCAAAUAAUAUUUUUGAAUAAAUAAAGAUGUUGUUUUGGUUUAUAGCACAGCAGGGGUCGACCCAAAAUAUAGAUAAAGAUGCUGUUUUGAUUUGUAGCACAGCAGGGGUCGACCCAUGGGUCGAUCCGUUCCAAGUUGCUAUACCAAGUUGCCGUUGUGCCGUGGGCAAAGGGACGUUUCAAAGUCGCCCUAUUAAAGGGCGACUUAUAGAGGUGCCCUAUCACAGGGCGACUUAUAGAGUCGUCCUAUCAUAAGGCGACCUAUAUAGGAGCUCUACGAUAAGGCGACUCAUACUAUCAUCCACCUAUUCCCCAGCUGGCAGUAAGAUUGGUGAGUCAACAUGAAAAGUCGUCCUAUCAUAGGGCGACUUUGUUUUCGACAGUAUUUUCGUAAAUAAUUUUGAAAGGACAUUAUUUUCAUAUUUUUUUUUAAAUUAACAUUAUUUUGGUAAAAAAUCCAACCUAAAAUAGUGACACCUGGCAGAGGCACUAUAUAACACUUGGUAGCAUGAAAUUUAUGAUGCACAUAUUGCAUUCUAAUUUGUUCAUUCUGUAAACACAAAAUCCUUUUCAUCUGUCAGGCACACUCCAACAUUUAGAAGACAUGCCAUUUUUAAUGCUCUUGUCCAUAGGUCACCGACAGAACAAUAAGCAUGUCAUAUACAUAUUCAUAUAUGUAUACAUGUAGGGGUAUAAAUGGACUGGAUUGGAUUAUACCUAAAUCCAACUCCAAUCUGAAAUAUUUUGGACUUGAAAACUUGGCUUCAAAACCAAACCAAAUACUCUACUAGUCCAAUCCAAUCCGGUCCGAAAAGUUUGGAUUGGAUUGGACUGGAUUUUUGGACUUUUAUAUGCAAUAGACUGCAAUUUGGAUCAUAAUUCAAAAGUAAGUUAUAUGAAUUCGAAACAUAUACUAUUUAUAGGUACUCUAUAAUAUCGCCCUACAUCUAACAACUAAUAUUAUAAUAGUGAUUGAUAAGAAAUAAAAAAUAUAAAUUUCAAUACCAAGGGUCUCAACAAGUCGUGCUAUAAUAGCAUCAUGUCAAAAAUAUAAGUUCUAGAUUUUCAAGAAAAAUUACAUCAUCAAAAUAUAACAAGUUCCAUAACAUUUAAAAGAAACUAAACUUGAAACACACACACAAAUAUAUAUGUGUGUGUGUGUGUAAAAUCCAAAAGUCCAAACUAGAAGAAUGGAUUGGAUUUGGUUUGGACCCAUAGUUUGGACUUUGGAUUAGAUUUGGAUUUUAUAAUAUUAGAUCCAAAUCUAAGUCCUAAGUCCAAAAUGUUUAAAAAUUGACUUCAAAUCCAAAACCAAAGUCCAAAAAUCCGAUCCAAUCCUCUAGUUCGUUUGGAUCAGUUUGGAUUUUGGAUUUUUUCCAAUCCGCUUACACCCCUAUAUACAUGUAUUACGUAAUGUCUUAACUGUCAGUGCUAGAUAGGCAAUAUUUCUCAAGAGAUAUCAAAAAAGAUUAGGAUCAUACCGACAGCAGUUAGCAACAUCCCGGUGCACAGGACCCAUAAUCUGCAAACCAUAGCCGACCAAGUUAGAAAAAACUCCAGAAGAGAAAUCCAAAUAAGAGGAAUGGAAAAAAUCCUACUUGUUGAAGCAUAGAAAAUGCUUCAGAAAAAAGCGUGUAGGCUUCAUUUAGCAAUCCCUGAAACAUGAGAACAUCAUAUCACAUACUGCAUCAGCAAACUAGAAAUUAUAUACCCAAAAAAAUUGCUCACAUAGAUCAGCUAAGUUCAUACCUUGCUUAACAGGCAUGCACAACACAGGCGCACACACACUCACACUUAAAAAAACUCUUGCAAUAAUAAAUCGUCUCCAGGAAAUUCAUCUCACAUACCUCAGCCAGUCAGGCUUUCCCUGCUUCCAUGAGAUUCCUUGCUUCUGAGCACACUGGAACUGAAUGCUUUAUAACUGGUUGGAGAUUUAGAAUAUCUGAGGUUCAAAAUGGUGCUGAAGAAUCAAGAUCAAAUGUAUGUGCAGCAAUUGUUACUCCUACCUGUCACAAAGAGAGUAUGCAUGAUAUACAGGCUCUGCCACCGCAAAAUUCUAAAAGUUGCAACAUCAAUGUUGAAAGACAAGAGCAUCAUCACAGCACUAUCAAACAAACCAUGCAAAACAGGCAUACUUAACAUGUACCACAACUCUCAGUCACUUUUAAUACACAGUAUUAAGCACUAACCUACAUAUGUAAACGAAAUAAUUAACAGGAAGAACUCAAACAUGGCUUUUAUUGUAUAUUGUAAAACCUAGAUUAAAAAAUAAAAUAAAUAUCAUCUAACAUCCUGCAGUAUUGAGACAAGUUUCAAGUAUUGAAGUGUUCAAAAAAAAUCCAAGACAGGAUCUUCAAGAAUUUGACAUGGAAACAUCAGUAUCCGUAUGGAUGUUUGUGUGCACGGAUGUAUGCAUGCAAUGAAUAAUCAGUAAGACCAAUUCCUGGCUAAAUGUUAUAAAACAUCUACCAAGUUUUAUAUAGAAGUGCUAAAGGUUGAGAUAUGAUCGUGAUAGCAUCAAGAUCUGAUGAUUUUAAGUGUCAAGGAUUAUCAUGAGUUGUGUAAAUAUCCUAGUCUAUUAACUGAAAAUGUAGAAUGUCCAGGUAACAGUGGUAAGUGGUAACUUUGCAUGAAAUUAGCAUAAGGUGUCCUAAAAAUAAUAAAAAAUCAAAAGCUGAAUUGAGAAUUCCAAUCAUCCUGCAUAAAAUUACAAUGUGGUUUCAAAUGGACAUGCAUUAUUAGUGGGGUAUGGUAAGAAAAAAGCUGACAGCAAUAAUAGACUUUACCUUUUGGCACAAAUUACGAAUGACUGCAAGCUUUUUUACUCGAAUCCUUGCGUCAUCUGGUAAUUCAAACUAGAUCAAAGAAAACUCAUUCAGGGCACAGGAUUGUGUAGGUUGUUUCAAAAUUUGAACACGAGAAGCCAAGGUUGUCAAAAUUGCUGCUUAGGUCUCUAGGUAGUCCACCUAGGUGCCUAGAAUGGCGGAACUGCAUAGGCAAUUUGCAAUUAGGUAAUCAUAUAUAAAUAUUACUUUAACCCCUUCUUUUUCCGUUACAAACUUCCUCCGUUCUAUCAGUUUUGAAUGUUUGUAACUUAAGUUAUAUGGGAGUGAAAAUGACAUUAUAUAUGUCAUAACUUUCCUAAUUUAUAAUCCCUCAUCUCACCAUACAAUUUCUCUCCCCUCUCUUCUCUUCAAAUGAUCUUUCUUUUUUCCCCUAUUAUUCCAGUUCUUUAUUUCCCUUUUUCCCUUCUAUUACUUCACUAUUAGUCCUCUUGUUCCUCUUCUUUACCUCAGUUUUUUCUUGUUUUCUCUAUUUUACUUCUUCUUGUUAACCUUUUCUUAUCCUUUUCAUCUUUUCUCCCUUUUUUAUCCUUUUUUCAGUAUUUUCACUGUCUCUCUGCUGCUGAAGAACUUGCUUUUGUUAUCUUAUCACACUUAUAUUUGACUUGGUGGACUUGUGCGAUAAUGAAAUGUUCAUUUGGUUUCGAUUAAUUUUAUCCCCUACUAUGCUAUAGUAGUUUAUUAGGUUUUUGUAUGUAUGACUUAAAGAAUAAAAAUUAAUCAUGUUAUGUCAUGACCUUUCAUGUGUUUUUUGUCUUUUUUUUUUUUUCCAAAUGGACUGCUUAUUUCAGUAGGUGUUCCACCUAAUCAUCUUGGCAGUGUCUAAGCAAUAAAGGACUCUGCCAACCAGGGAUUGCCUGGCCUCCUUGCAAAACUUAGGAGCAGCUAUCUGAAUAAUGUUACCUAAUCUUUCAAUCUAGCAAAUUCUCGAAUGUUAGACCAUAGUCCUUCAGAGGUCCAGAACAAAUGUGCUGAGUGACCUUUUGCAGAUGAUGCUCCAUGACUCCACCUCAUUUGCCCCUUUCCAGACUUAAGUGGAGAUUGAUGGCUCUCUUGGCCCUGAGAUAAAAGUAUGAAGGUGAAAUGGAAACUGAAUCAUCAGCAGAACAUUCUAAACUCAAAAGUACUAUUUUUUUGUUUUAAUCAUGUGUAUUUAAAAUGUCCAUAUAAGUUGCAGAAGAAGCAUAAAUAAUGAAUUGAAAUUGUGGUGUCAUAGCUAGGAGCAGCAAACUGGAUUCAGAAUAUCAGAUAUCCAUGUGAUUGGACUGCAUGUAAAGCAGUUAAACUAGCGUUAUAUUGAUACAUUUGAUUAGACCAUUACAGAGGACACAUGAUCUUUCUUCUCCUGAUAAUUUGCCUUUAGCUAUGGCAGGCAUAUCCUUAGAAGCCAGAAAGCCAGGACCAAAAACAAAUCCAGAGAACAUUUUAAAUAUAAUAGGCAAAGCCGGCAACGGGUUUGCCGACUUCACACGAUUAAAAAGAAAAAAAAGAUGAAACAGGGGCAAACCCCUAUUUCGCAUGGGACGAGGGCAGAGGCCCUCUUCCAUCCUCAGCCGCCCUCAAGCCCCUCAGCGCGGCCUCGAACGGCCUCCGGCGGUCACUGGAGGCUCUCUCCUCCUCUCCCUCUCCUUCUCUCCCCCCUCCACUCACUCUCUCUCUCUCUUCCUCUCUUUCUUCUCCCUCUUUCCGAGACGACUGCUAUGUCGUUUUCCAUACCAGAACCAGACUGGUUUUCCGCCAAUACGGUUCGGCAUGGCCUGAACCAUCCAGUUCAGGACGGAACUGGAUGGUUCAGAAAAUGCUGUCAACCAUAUUGAAAGCCUAACAAUUGCCUCCCAAAUUUGUCCAAAAAACUAUUCGUCCAUCUUGCAGCCACUGGAAGUCUGGAAGUAUUGAAAACACCAUAUUAAUUGGAUAAGAUGGUUGCUGCCAUAGCCAUUGCAGCUAUAUAAGAUGGUCACUAUUAUAGCACUUGUAGCUACUAUACACAUUUCUUGAUAGCCAUCCUAAACAAUCCAAUAAGCACCUCCAUGUUGAACUGUAGAAAGUGCCUCCAGCUACAAAUGUUCUGAUGAUAACCUUCUCACAAGAAAUCAGUAAGAUAAAAGCAUAGAAAAAUUUUGAACAUGGUUCACCAUCCACAUACAAUAAACACUCAAUUGAAAUCCAGAGAAUUGUUGCUAAGACAAUCAAGAAAAUUCACAUCAACUAUAGAGGACCUCAUAUCGCAUAUAUUAAAUGGACCUAAAACAAUACUGAUCAAGCAGCACCUCCAACAUUAAGAGACUUGAAAAAUUGAAAGUUAUGAUAAACCAAAGUUCAUAAUCCGAACAAGAAUUUGAUGUUUUCUAAUGGAAAAGAGAGUCAAACCAUAACAGAUAGUGACAAAGAAAAGGCAUAAAAGGAGAAUCUAUAAAAUUAGAGUAAGUGACUCACCUUGGAGUAAAAUGAUUCAUCCCAACAAAUUUUCUUGCCAUUGUCAACAGAACCAUAUAGAAGGGAAUCUGAUUUAUCUCCUUGAAGGAUGCCAGGGAUAAUGUGCUGCAAAUUGAAUAUGAAUAAGUGACUAAUCAAAAAGCUGAAGCUUGCAAUGAUACAAAAAAAGUUAUCAUAAUACAAUGGCUUCGGAAGUAAAAGGAAAAAGGGUUUAGCAUUAUAAAAUGUAAGAGGAAUAAGUCUACUUAGUUACAGGAUAAAAAGGGCAUCUCAAUGCACGAGCUCCCACAAUUGCUAGGUCUGAGGAGGGUUAUAUGUACACAACCUUACCUGUGCAUACGGAGAGUAUGUUUCCAUGUUUCAAACCUAUAACACCCAGGUCAUAAUGAAGCAAGCUUACCACUGCACCAAGGCCCACCCUCUUGUUUAAUUAUAGGAUCAAAAUGAAAAUUUGCAUUUAUAAAUAUUAAAAAAUAAUGGGUUUAAUCAAAAAGAAAAAGGAAAAAAUUAUAACCAAAGACACCUUAAGUCUUUUAGAAAUUCUAGAGAAUAAAAUCAAAAGUUUGCAUCCCUUCACAUAGCCAAGCUUAGUCCACUCAUAAACACAAACGGAUGGCAUAAGAGAACAUAGAUAAUAUCAUCCACUGAGGCAACUUCUUAUCCUUUACAUUCUCCCUAUGAUGCACUCCUGCAUCGGCCCACACAAACAAACAUAUUCUAGUGUCUAACCCCUUGCAUUUCUCCCCCCACUUUUAUCAUCACCCUUGCCUCUUUUCUGGAUGUAGCUUAUGUUUUGGUCCCAUAGGAAAAAGGAAGGUGCAAUUCUCUUUUUAAAUUUUGAAAGUGUGGUUGUAUAAGGUUAUAAGAAGUUUAGAACUCCUCAUUUUCGAAAUAACUACCAAAUUAUAGUUGAAAAAGGAAAGUGAAAGAUUUCAGACUCAGGAAAGAUUAGCUGAUACUUGAGAAGAAUACAGAACAUCUGAAUAUGAUAUGACAAGAAAUAUAAAGCAAGCCAUUAUGUUGAACCACUAAUUCAUAAUUUAAUUAAGAAAGCAUCAAUCGUGAAAGAAUACCAGCUAUAACCAAAAUUGGUGCAUGCAAUCAUACAAUGGAGCAGUUGAAACUUGAAUAUACAUAUACAUAUACAUAUACAUAUACAUAUACAUACAUACAUACAUACAUACAUAUAUAUAUAUAUAUAUAUAUAUAUAUAUAUAUAUAUAUAUANNNNNNNNNNNNNNNNNNNNNNNNNNNNNNNNNNNNNNNNNNNNNNNNNNNNNNNNNNNNNNNNNNNNNNNNNNNNNNNNNNNNNNNNNNNNNNNNNNNNNNNNNNNNNNNNNNNNNNNNNNNNNNNNNNNNNNNNNNNNNNNNNNNNNNNNNNNNNNNNNNNNNNNNNNNNNNNNNNNNNNNNNNNNNNNNNNNNNNNNNNNNNNNNNNNNNNNNNNNNNNNNNNNNNNNNNNNNNNNNNNNNNNNNNNNNNNNNNNNNNNNNNNNNNNNNNNNNNNNNNNNNNNNNNNNAUAUAUAUAUAUAUAUAUAUAUAUAUAUAUAUAUAUAUAUAUAUAUAUAUAAAGACAAUCGGAAAAAAACUUUUCCCAAAAUACCUCAUCAAGAGCCAUUGUAAUCUAAGGGAAAAAAGGAUCUCUAUGACACACCUGUGCUACCACUCUGUAAUCUCUGUAAUCAAUUAUAGCCAUAGCCAGAUUAUAAAGUCCAGGAACAUCAGCUUUCUGGUAAGGUUUAGUUCCUUUCAGGUUAUUAUUUGCAGAAGCAUAUGUAGCUUGUUCAUUGUCAGAAAUGUGUCUUGGCAGAUGCAUCAGAAGUAUCAUCUGAAACAUUUUGAAAUUGUUCAGUGUUCAGGCUCAUAGACAUGCAUGGCUGGAGUUAUUACAGGUCCCAUGGAAUGUAUUACCUGAUGCCUUUGCCAAUAAAACAGGUGAGGUUGCAUCACUGCAGUUGUCAACACCAUGCCAAGAGUUUAACUUAAUACUCGAUCCUUGAUCUUCUGAUAUCUGCCCAAGGUCAGCAUCCACAGCAAAACUAAAGAAUAUGUUAUUGUGUACAUACCUGUAAGAAGAUAGGAUGGUUAAUUAAAAGAGCACUGAUUUCCACAGAAAUUGGAAUACUAAUGGUUAAUUAAAUGAUUCUGUUAUGCAUGUACAAUUCUAUGCAGCUAUAAAGCAUGCCUAGUGGAGCUGGAGAUAAAGAUGAGGAUCAAAGCAUGGUAUGCAUAGAAAAAAUCAGUUCCAACUAAAUAACUAGUUCAAAGAGUCAGCAGAAGUACAAAUAAUAAACACAAACAUGCUACCCAUCUGUAUAUCACACAUGUACACAAACACAUCUCUCUGUAUAUUUGCUUUAUCUCUCUAUUUGCCUGUAUAUCUAUAGGUAUAUAUUUAUAUGUAUUUACCCGUAUAUACGUGCAUGCAUCUUUCUCUCUAUUUAUGUGUCCGUGCAAGUCUCGAGUGCAAGGUUUUACGUCCCAAUGGGACCGGGGGUAUCCCGGCCAUCCCAUCCCAUUCCUGUGAGAAAAUGGGACCGAGACAAGGUCGGGCCUCUAAAACCCAUUCAUGCAAGGAAAGAAGAAGAAAGAAAAAAGAAAGAAAAGAAGAUGAAAAAAAAGAAAAAUGAAAGGAAAGAAGAAGAAAGAAAAUGAAAGAAAAAAGGGAAGGGAGAAGAAAAAGAAAGGAAUGAAAGAAGGAAGAAAGGAAAAAGAUAGAAAAAGAAAAAGAAAAACAAGAAAUAAAGGAAGGUAUGAUAAAAAGAAAAAGAGAAAAAAAGGAAAAACAAGAAGGUAGAAGNNNNNNNNNNNNNNNNNNNNNNNNNNNNNNNNNNNNNNNNNNNNNNNNNNNNNNNNNNNNNNNNNNNNNNNNNNNNNNNNNNNNNNNNNNNNNNNNNNNNNNNNNNNNNNNNNNNNNNNNNNNNNNNNNNNNNNNNNNNNNNNNNNNNNNNNNNNNNNNNNNNNNNNNNNNNNNNNNNNNNNNNNNNNNNNNNNNNNNNNNNNNNNNNNNNNNNNNNNNNNNNGAUAAAAAGAAAAAAGAGAAAAAAGGAAAAACAAGAAAGGUAGAAGAAAAAAAGAAAGAAAGAAAGAAGGAAAAAAAGGGAGAGAGAUGGAGGAUAUCCAUCGAGAUGCACGAUCGGGAGGCUAUUGGGACGAGACAGGAUAGUGGGUCAUCCUAUUCCAUGGAGAUACUGGGACACCUCCAUCUCACGAGAUUUAAAAUCUUAGUCGAGUGUGCAUGCAUAUAUGUACAUGUGUAUAAUCAUUAUAAAUUACAUAUUUUGUUAGUCCAUAGAUAUUGGCCAAUAUGUAACAAGGCUGCAGACCUUUCGAUGACAGUGUCUAUAGACAAUGCUUUGCAAGUGGCGUAUAUUGGAAGCAAAAAAAAGCAAUAUGUAAUUAUAAGUAACUCAAAAGAAAAGCAAAAAGAAAAAAGAGGAAUUAUGAGCCAAAAAUUAACUACAGUGAGAAAGUUCAUUCACCCUGAUCAACUAGUAUAAUGCACAGAAGCUCCAUCUACUUGAUUUAGUUUCCAAAAUCAUACCAGGAUAUAUGCUUGUACCAAAAAAGAUGCCGAAAAUCUAACUACAAGGACAAUGAUGAGACAAACUUCUCUGGGUUCACUCAGAUAUGGAAACAUUCUGGAUCAGUUGGAUUAAUUGGGUGUAUACAUCUGUUGAUGACUCCGAUUUCUCCUUUAAUUGCUGAAUCAACGAAAUCACAUCACUUCAUAAAGAGCCCUGCCAUGCAGCAUCCUACAACAAAAUAAUCUCUGUAAGCAAUGCAGAAAGCUAUCUUUAAUAGCUUCUUAUCUUUAGUAGCAACUGCAGCUGCUGCAAUUGAAAGAAAAAGGAAUUGAAUAAAAGGGUAAAAAAAAUGCAAUUCAGUGGAUGAUCUGCAUCAAGCAUUGAAGAUAUACACCUCUCCUGAGAAGUAUUAUGAGGAAAUUCCCCAUAGGAUUGUAAUUCCUCAUUCCAGCCUUUCUGCAUGCCAAUUAGUUCACUUGCAUAAGAAAGAGCAAAGGCAUCCUCUGCUCUGGCUGCAUCCCGUUCAUGAUCUGCAAGCCAGUGUAUUAAAAAGCCCUAGGUGCACUAAGGCGCAAAGGGCUGUUGGCGCCUAGGCGCUAGGCGCGCACCUCAGUGAAUCUAGGCACCAAUUAAAGCAAAAAAUAUAUAAAAUUAUAUAACAGCAUCUAUAACACAAAAUACUAGUAUUAUAUAAACUAAUGAGCCUCAAACAACAAUCCAAAACACCAUAACAAUAAACCUCAAACAACAAUCCAAACACCAUAAUGUCAACUCAAACAACAAAAUAUAAGCUAAACCUCAAACAACUAAAGAUAAGGAAACUAAAAAACACCAUAAUGUCAACUCAGCUCUAAUAAAUAUGUCUAAGAUUCUAAUAAAACAUAAUCUUUUCCAUCCUGGAUCUUUUCUAACGUUUUCAGAAGCCAUGCUGCAUGUAAAUGAAUAGUUACAUGAGCAUGAGCAUAACAGGAAAAGAAAAAUAAAAGAGAGAGACAAGAAUAGGCAUGGCAUGAGAGUGGAUGAGAGAGAGAUAGAGGGAGGGACGAAGGGAGAGAUCGGUUCAGGAAGUACCAGACAGCAAGCAGGGAGAGAGUCCGAGAGUCCUUGUGUAGUUGUGUUCUUCGUGUCCACUGGUUAGACACUUUGCUUCUCUGGUUUUCUUGCUGAAGGAGAAUUCUAUAAGACGUGAACUUCUUCUUGAUCAAGAGUAAUUUAAAAUUUAAAUAGAAGUAGACUCUUUGGUUUUAGAUUUUGUUUUUUAGUAAAUGAAGAGGCAGCUGGCAGCCCACUCUAGAGUCCCUAGCUAAUUAAAACUCUUAACCUAACCAGCUGUACAUUCCUUGUUUCACAAAAAUUCUUUAAUCUAGUAGCUGAAAAGUCCUAUUGGGACUUAAAUUCACUUAGGCACGCUUAUUGAGUGCCUUACAUGAACCAACCAGGUGCAAGCCUAGGGCACCUCAAGUGCGCCUAAGGCAAAUCACCUCGUCUGGCUGUUAUUAAGCACCAGGCAUCACGUACCAUGCGCCUAAGGCGUGCUUUUUUAUUCACUGCUGCAAGCAUUGAAAAGAUUCAGUUUGUCUGAGCAUUUAAAAUAGAAGAAAAUAGAUGUAAGUUAGAUUUAUGGAUUGUAAAAGCGUAGACACACUUUACAACAUAACAGGCAUCUAAAUUCUCAAUGAUACUUUACCCAAGACAAAAACAAUAUAUUUUCUGAAAAUGCAAAAUCAUGUUAGUCGGACCAAAAGUAUCAGUAAAGUAUCAUACCCAUAUAACAAUUUCAUAUAUAAUAAUCAACAAUUACAAAGAUUUGAAGAUAUGCCCUUUUGUUAUGCAUUAUAAUGUAUCUUUCAUCGAUACAGCAUAUUUACCACUGAAAUCUGGGCAUGCAGCCAAAUGUUUGCUCAUGUUUUUUAGUUGGAACAAAACAAAUGAAGAAAGAUUUUGCAAAAAAUAAUUAAAAUUACAGCAUCUAACUUUAAUCAAGUUAUUCUUCUGGCAACAUCUAUACUCUAUGGCCAUCAAAUAGACUCAUAGAGUGUGUAUACAGAGCUACAAUACACAUUAGAUGCAGUGCACCAGCAAUUUUGCAUUUGCAAGCAACUCCACUUGCUAUAAUAUGAACUGAGGAUCAUCUUAUAAAAUGAAUCAUUGCAAGUGCCAAGGGGACAAAUGGCAUUAUGAGUCUGAAAGGGAAGAAAAGUAGCACACAGGAUCACUGGAAGAGCACCAACAUGGUUUUAAACAUGGACACAGACCAUGAGUCAGAUCCAAUCAUUAUAUAUAUGCAAGAAGCCUAUACAACAAAAUCCAUUUCUUAAGAGCAGUGACUAGGCCUCUUUUAAAGCCAGUGAAUCUUAAGAGAAUAAACACUUACUGCUUUCAGUUACAGCAAACAGUCCCCUCGUAUGUUGUUUGCAGCUAUAUAGUUUCAUGAAUGAAAUUUUAGGAAAACUAUAGUGGAAUUUUGAAAAAAAAAAAAGAAAUCUUAGGAAAAAGAGAGUUUCAUGAAAUAAAGGAAAGAAAUAAUCUAUAAGAAAGUUGAACUUAAAAUUUGAAGAGCAUUGCACCUUAUAAUGUAGGAAAAACCAAGAAAGAAGUUAAGACAAAAAUCUCAACAUAAAGAGUACAAAGGUCAGCUGUCAUUUAUACCAGGAAUGCGAUAGUCACCCAACCAUGAAUUUGGUGGCAACAGGGAUUGGACAGUUUCAAAAAGAUGUGCGGAAGCUUUCCAGUCCAAAAUUUCAUGAAAACCAUCAAACAUAUACCCACUUGUUGAUUAAAGACAAUGGCAACAUACCCAAGUCAUGCACAGAAUAUCACAAGUUCACAACUGUUAUUGCUUCAAAAAACUUGUCCACCUUUCUUGAACUUGGAGCUGAUUUUUUGCAAUAGACCAAUUAGAGUACUUGCUUCAUAAGCAGGCCUUGAUGGUCUUGGAUCCAAUAUAAUCCCUGUGCUAGAGUUCACAUAAAAAGCUCUUGUGGUCCCUGUGAUGCAAAACUUAUUUCCUUCUAAUGUUACCACAUCAAUAUAGAUCAGAUCUCCAACUCGCCUGAAAAAGAAAAGGAACAAAAUUAAUUAGUUAUACUCCUUUCCAUCGUGAUGUGCUAAAAAGCGAUUGCUGUUUACUUUGUAACUUGUGUAAUGGUUAAAUUUCUAAAGAUCAAAAGGUGUUCAAACAGAAUAAUGUAGCCAAUGAUGUGCAGUGCCUCUAGACCCACCACUCCAAAAGAUGUGGUCAUUGUGUUAAAAAUCUUUUUGUAUGUAGGUAAAUAAUGACAGGUGAUUCAGCAAAAGAGGCCAUAACAUAGCAAUUAUUUAUAAAGGAGUAGACAGCCAGUAUGUUCUUCUAUCUUUCCAGAGAACUACUAGUUUCCUAGAUAUAGCUGGACAGGAAGUUAAACAUAGUGAAGUUCAGAAGGUAACUUUUCAAGUACAAACCAUAUCGCAUUGUAAGUGGGUUAAAAUUUGAGAAGGGAACAUUACACAGAUAAAGAUAAAGGCAAAGAAGAAAGAUCUAAAGGGAAAGGAUUUACUUUCUGUAAGUUGGAGGAGGGUUGAAAGAAGAAAAUUCAAUGUUUUCCACACAUUUGAUCUCAUGAGGUGUUGGUGGCUUGGCGCCACCAAACGGUGGAGGGAACCCAUCAAAUCCUCCAUGAAACCUAACCCAUCUGGAGUUUUUGGUUUCACAUCGGUAUAACAAUGAGAUCAGCAGUAAAAAAGCAAUAAGAAUUGACAGUAAAACUGCACCUACUCUAGCUUCAAGGAAAUUUGCCAAGUGUAAAAGAUACAAUUAAGUUAAAAAGAGGCAGAAAACAAUAUGAAACUAUAAUCCAAAUGAUGACUUUUAGUUUAGCAUAAUAGCUAACUACAGAGACAACAUGCAUGAGGUUAAAAACAUUGCACAGUGCAUGGCAGAUAGAAACCUGAAAUUUUUUGCGGUGCGGUCUCAUGCUGCAAAGUUAAUGAUGUUGAUAAUGAGACAUGAAGAGUUGAAAGAGAAAGCAAUACUCGUGCAUGGCGUACAUGUGACCUAAUGGAUAUCUCAUCAUAUAAUGCUGCAAAAACACAGUCAUAAUGCCACCAGGUUACUACCAAUACAACCAAAAUGCUGAACAGAUAAAUGAAACCUAGUAAAUAAGGUGCACAAACCAGCAACCAUCUCUAAGGAGCAACCACCAGCGGUAAUAUCUGCAACUUCAGAAAUUUCACUGUAAUCAUCUAAAUGAUGAACUGAACCAUCUUUAGUAUGUGGAAUUAAAUCAUAGCAAGUAAAGAAACAGGUCUCUGGAGCAUCAAGAAGGAAUUGUCUGACAUCCAUCACAGAAUCUCCAGGACUUAGCUGCACAUCCAAAAUCAAAAUUAGAAUUUGUAGAGUUGCAAAUUUAUUGAGCAAGGGACAAAAGAAAGUUUUAAAAUACUUCAACUGUUGAAGUACAUCAAAGACUUAAACUUCAGUAGAUAAUGUUAUUCCAAAGUACAACUGCAAGAAUUUAUGAAGUAUGAACCACACACAGAAAUAAAACUACUACAAAGUACUCCUUCAUCAGGUACUUGAUGUUUUAGUUGCCAGUGGAACUGAGCAUGGUUGCCAACUGAUGGCAACCAUGUAAUCAAGCAAGCACCGGGAGACCAGGUUUUCAACAGACAUGUUGCAUGAUUUAGGAAAACUUCGUAUUUUGCUUUGUCAGUGAGUUGGUUGCCUGCCAUCUGGCACAACUAGUCAUUUUUUGGAAUUCAUGGCCAAAGGACUACUUUUGAAGAUGAGUCGUCUUUUGGAAUUUCAUGGCCAACGGACUACUUUUAAAGAUUUGAGAUAUUCAAGUAAGAAACGAGUUAAGCUGUUCCCAGCUUCUUUUAUCUUCAUUGAUUCUUUUAUCCCAGCUUAUUUAUUACAUUCUCUCUUCUCUCUUCUUUGGUAUGUCAGAAAUAUUCUUAUUAUGUCUUUAUCUUGCUGCACUGAAACUCUGCAGUUAUUCACACUUUGCCAAUGCAAUCUGCAAAUCAGAUGAAGACAGGUAAGUUCUCUCUUGAUUUUCUUUGAACUGUUUCUGUUGCUGACCAGCCCACUUGUCCAAUGACAAACAAUCAAUCAAUAUGCAAACCCUCGCUUGCAGGUAAAACAUGCAGAAAGAAGAAUCAGUAUGAUACAGGCUAAAUGUUCUUGACUCUUCAAUUGAUUUUACUUCUCUAUAAAUCUGUAAAAUUAAUGCUAACCAAAGCUUCAUCAGCAACAACGAAGACAAAAAGGACAAAUGCCCAUGCAAAGUGACAACACUAUUGGAUUGUUGGAAAUCCAAAUUUUCUUUUGCAUUAAAAAGUUAGAUUGUUGCCCAACCAGGAUAAAGCAACAAAAGAUUGUAUAAAUGUAUGUAGACCUCCAAAUCAUGAGUCCUGAAUCUAGAAAAAGAAAUUCCUUAGCUCCCGCAACAGUGGCAGUGUGCCUUUUAUUAUAUUAAUUACUAGAAGUAGAACAUAACUCAUAUGGCAGACCUCACCAAAUUACUAUUUUCUCAUGGCGUUUAUUGUUUCCAAAAACAUGCAGGGCAUGAUAUCGUUUUACCAACAAAAUCCAUUAUUAUCUUCCUAUAUAUUGCUAUACUGCAUUAAACUUUGUAUGCACUCAAGAAAGUGGCAUGACUUCACCUUUGAAUACCCUAGUCACUGAUAAUAGGCUACAAUAAAUACUAACAGGAACAUGGUGAUUUCACACCCCAAAAUAGCAUGAGCUAGAGUAAAUUCUAUUGUCAACAAAUACCAGUUUCCCCAAUGAUUUACAGAUCAUCAGGAAAAGUAAAAAUAAUUAACAAAAGAAGAAAACAGCAACCAACAUUCCACAUGAAAAGGCAAAGUAGAAAAGUGACUGCAUGUGAACUAAUUCAAAAGAUAGAACACUAGAAACAUGUAAAAAGAAUCUCCAAACGCUCACAAAAACAACCAAUCUAAACUUUGAUUAAUUGAUUGCUGAUAAGCAUAAUAAAUAUCCCAAUAAAAGCAUCAAAAUACACCCUAAUUGACCUUUAUUCCUUAAGAACUGAUGCUUUUACUUGUGUUUUGCAGAAAAGAUGAUCGCAGAUCUCGAUUUGUAGAUUCAAAGGAAGAAAAUUUGAAGCAAAUCAGACUCAAUUCAGACCCCAAUUGAAGACCUCAAGCCAAAAAAAAGAAAAAAUUUUUAAAAAAAAAGCCAGUCAGCCCAUUAAGCCGCGCUGUCUACGGCGGUCCACGAGCCCCCACGGUCCACAAGCGCCAGCGGGCAGUCUACCAGAACAAGGGCUGGUCCACGGCCCGUGCGUAGACCCUGCCGCACCAGGUCUACAAGCAGUUCAGAGGAAUAGUGUCUCCUGGUCUUUAUCACGGCACAUGAACAGGGCGGCUGAGUUCUGCACUAUCGGAUGGCUGCCAGCGAUCUUUACAUGAAAUUGGACGGCCAUGGUUCCGCUCUCCCAUAUCUAGCGGUGGUGACCCGUAACAUUAGCGCGAUCCAACAGCUGCGCUUCAACCAAGAGAAAGAUCGGAUGGCUGUGGUGGUUUUCGACUGAAAGAAGGAUUUUGGGAUGAUUUUAUGCGCUGAUCAACGGACGGGAUUCGAUCUAGGAAAGGAUCCGACAGUCAAAAAUGAAGCUGACUUGAUCUGGGCUGUUUCGAGCAGGUUUUUGAGCCGUUGGAUGCUGAUCGGAUGGUGGGCAUGGGUAGAAGAGUUUGAACAUGAUACAGAGCCCAGUUUAAGUCGAUUUCAACUCGAUUUCAACUCUGUUUUCAGCUAUAAAAAGGGGACUGCAGACACAACAUAAGGAGGGCGAGCAACAGCGAUCAAAAAAUAGUGGGCAGUCACAAAAAAAUUUUUCUUUAUUUCUUUAGUUUUAUUUUAGGAUUUGAGAGAGAGAGAAAGUAGAGAAGAAGGAGAUUGCUUCAAAAAGAGGAGGCACUGUGGCAGAGUACUAAAUUUUCAUAAGAUAUAUCCAGAAGCCAUGUCUGGCUAAGCUGCAGUCUGUAGGGGGAGCACAGAUGUCCUUUCAUAAUUUUUUAUAUUUAUUUUCUAUUUUAUGCAAUUAAUAAAAUACUUUCAAGUUUUAUUCACUUUCUUUUAUGCUUAAUUUCUGAAUAAGUUACCUAUAGGUGGGAUAGAUCAUGAUAGUGACAGGAUAUGGCCCAUGCUCAACAAAGAUAAUUUAUUUUAGGAUUUAAUAUUUACAUAACCUGUUAGGAUUUGUACAGUCAAAUCUUUUGAUAGUCUAUACUUGUAGGACGGGCUAUGAUCUUGACAGGAUAUGGUUCGUGCUCGGCAAGAUAGUCUAUGCUUGGGAUUUGUUUGCAAGACUCCUAAUUGAUUAUGAAUUUAAUUGCUUAGAAGAAAGACAAAUAUUAAAAUUUAUGUUUGUGAUUAUCUAGAAACCUAAAUACAUAUUUUUCAUUAUCUAUAUCUCUCAAUUUCAUUUUUGAAUUAAAUUAAUUAGUUUCAAUUAAAACAUUACCAACUUUUAAGAAUCAAACUUUCUCUUUUGCUUAAUUAAUUGCAUCUCAGUCCUCUGAUCCUCAUGGAUAUGAUCUCGACUCAUCCUAUUUACAUAGUAGUGAGUUAGGUUUAUUUUUGACCGCCUACGACAGCGAUCAAUUGCCAAUAAAAGUUGGCAUGUAUGCUUGCACAUAUGUGGAGAUGGAUAUCUGCAUAUGAAACAAGCAUAUGCAAGUGUGCACAUAUGUGCCUCAUCGAGUACAAGGGACAGAUCCAUAGAAUUGCUGUUGCUAGAAGCAAAUUCUUGAUAGCUACAUGUCCUCUUUCACUGAAGGUGCCAGCUAGCCUGCUGGUGACGUCCCUUGGACGUUGUGCCCAACAAAUGCGAACCUCACCUUCAUCAGGGUUAAGGGUUUAGGUCUAUGGAGGGAGGGCUACCCAUCUGUCUAGUGCAUUUAAAUUUUUUUUAAAAAAAGACAAAAGAAGACUCCUGUUGCUUAAAAAUACAUCUGAUAUUUGUUUUCGAACAACUUACCUGUAACUCUAGCUUUUCUCCAGACUGUGUCUUCACAGAACAGGGUAAAGAUGAAGCUCACCUGCCCACCAAAAAACACACAGUUUCUUAGAAUUGCUAGCUCAGAUUUUGAUUGGUCCACGCGCAUGCGCAUGAGAGGGAGAGAGAUGGACAGUUUCUAAAUGCCCUUAAAAACACAUUAAGCUGAUCCAAAAUCAAUGUCAUGUUAGAAUUGCCACUACUAAAGAAGAUUAGCAGAAAAAAAGUGCAUAAAAAACAAACCAACUAGUGACAGCAGCCCAACCAGGAGUUCCAGUCUAAGCACGGAAAAUCCAAAUGGAUCAUAAACUUUGCUGUUAUAAUGAAGCCACUGACUUUUCAAAUACAGUCAGAAAAGUCAGCAGCAAGCCCACAAAUUUUAUACCCAUAGUUAUGGUUGUUCGUAGAUAAUAAGUUAUUGCUGCUAAGCAAGCAAAGGAUUAUGAUUGCAAUGAACAAAUCUUGCCUUAUUUAUUCUUGUCUCAUCCGCAAGGCUUUUGUUUGGCGUUUAUCCACACAGAUGCGGGGAGAAAAGUUAUCAUGAAAAUAAUGAGUGAUAAUGAAGACAUAUGUAAAAAAAGUUAGAGCUGACUGGAUGGGGUGGAGGGGUAUUUCUAGUGUACUAUGUGGUCAAUGUAUCCUUUGGUGACUUGAUGGAAAAUUCUAUGGAAAAAGAAAAAUGCAUGCCAUGUUUUGUGAUUGAAAUUAUUUCACAAUAAAAAGGAUCCAAGAAAAUAACUUAAAUGUUCUAGAAAUGAAAAUAUUGAGAUGGAUGUGUAAAACAAAGGAUAAGGUGAGAAAGUGAGCAACAAGUUUAUCAGAGGAGAAGUUGCACAAGUUAAGGAUAAAAUAAUGGAGACUCAGACGAGGUGGUAUAGAUAUGUCCAACAAAGAUUUGAGGGGGCUCCAAUAGGAAAGGUAUUUCAAUCUUCGUUAAUGUAGGAGGAAAAGACGAGAGCUAACACAGAUUAAAAUUGUGAGAGGAUAUGAAAAGGCUUGAAAUAACAGUAAAAUCUAGCUUUAAACAGGAAUGCUUGGUAAAAGAGGACGAAGAAAGUGGACAGAAAAUAGUUAGGAGUUGGGCCAUGGUAUGAUGGUUAAGGUUGUGGACCUUCUAGUAAUGGUCUAAUAUUAAGUUAUAAUAAGAGGAGAGAACAAGAAGGAAAUGGGAAAAAAUAAAUGAAAGGCUUCAAGGAUAAAAAGUGCCAAAAAUGAGUAUGUUCCAUGUUUAUACAGGGUGUACAUUGAUUUUACAUGUUUCAUGAGUAUUCUUGGGAUGGCCAUUAUGGGAGGUUCCUGUUAUAUUAAGUUCUCAAUAGAAGGUAGGAUUUAAAUAAAGAAAGUGACUAGAAAUGCAAAAACUGAGAUUUUUUUCACCAGCAAAUCAGAAAUGCAAUAAAUAUUAGUUUUAGGUUUUCCCUUUUCGCACUGUCUGAUCGUCUUUUAUCAUCUUUUACCUUCUUUAUUUACAACUUCUGAACCAGAUGUGAAAAAAAAAAUUAAAAAAAAUAAGAUCUCAACAGUUAGUCCUUUGGAUUUUUCUUAUUUUCUAUUUUUUUUGGCAGUUCUUCAUCUCUACUUCACUACAAUAUCUUCUUCUUAUUGUGCUGAAUGUUGAUAUCAGAACUGCAAUAGAUCUUAUCUAAAUAAGUUGGAUAACCACACAUUAUUACUCUUACAUUACUACUAAAAUACACUAAAAUAUCUUCAAGAAUGUGUUAAAAUCAAACAAACCCCAAAAAUCCUUCCUCAAACCAACAUAACCAUCUAAGUUCUGUCUCUCUCAUAGAGUUGCACACUCACUUGCUCCCUCCCCCAAAAUCAUGAUCCAUGCCUCAUGGUACCACAUUGCAUUAGCUAAAGAUGCUUAACUUAAAAUUACUACUUUGCAUAUCCUUCGAACCAUUUUCAACAAAUGCCAAUUUACACCACAGAGAUUACUAAAACCUAAACUUUUCUAAUAGGAAACACAUAUAUAUGCAUGUGAAUAUGCACACAUGUAGAGAGAGAGAGAGAGAGAGAGAGAGGAGGGAGGAGUAGNNNNNNNNNNNNNNNNNNNNUAGUAGUAGAGAGAGAGAGAGAGAGAGAGAGAGGGAGGGAGAGUUGAACUAACAUCCUUCUAAUAGAAUUAAAAUCUCAAUUUUACUAAUUGGAUAUCAAUAAUGGACAUUCGAAAUUGAGGAUCUAAAUAGUUAAAACACCAAUAAAUCCAAAAUAGUACAUUUUGAAGGCCUCUUUCCUAUACAUUUUUUGCCCAAUAAAUAAUGGGCAUCCAGAAUUGAAGAUUCUGGAUCAUAGAUGGAUCCUAUUUAUGGAAGUGCAUCUUUGGGCUUUCCAAAAUUGGAAAAUAUAGUGAUGAAUUUGAUGUUCAACCAAAACUCAGGAACCAAGAUGUUUUGGCUUUGGCUGGAGCCACCCAAAACUAAGGGACUGUUUGAUACAAUCAUAUGUGUGUGUGUAUAUAUUGGUGAGUAUAUACAUAUGUAUGGAUGUGUAUAUAUGUAUGGGCAAAUUGUAAAGCUCUUUUGCCUUUUAUAGAUUUUGUUUCUUGAUUUUCGAAACACUUAUCAAAAAAUCAAACUUAAUUACAAUUUGAGAAGAAUUAGAAGCAUUUUGACAUCAUGUUAUAUGUGUGUGUGUGUGUGCAUAUAUAUAUAUAUAUAUAGAGAGAGAGAGAGAGAGAGAGAGGUUUAUUGAAUAUUAUCGACAGAUUUAGCUAUCCUAGAGAUCAAAUUUCAAACAGAUUGUCCUCAAAUAAUUUAUGACAUGCUGCACACUAACAUGAUGUAAAAACAACUUUUCCUUAUUAUUUUCAAAUUGUAAUUUCUUGUUUGUCUCAGAACUGCAAACACUUUUUUUAGUUUCCUAAUUUUCUGAUAUUUUUUAUCCUUUUUGAAUUUAAGCUGAAACUUCAAAAAUUGAACUUCCAAGGAUGAAACUUGUGGACCUGGUAAAACUUAUACCAAAAUCAAAUUAUUGAACCUUGGUAAAACUUAAUAUCAAUCUUACUUGGCAACUUCUACCCCAGGCCAUCGAGCACCUACACACCUAUAUUUUACUCACUAAUCAGACCUUAAAAACAAUGAGUUAAAGAAUACAUGAAAGAAAGACUAGUUGAGAAGAACAUGAAAGGGUGCAAAAAAGAAAAGAGAAGGGCUACACAGAGUUCACAAGGGAAAUAUUGAAAUCCCAGGCAUAGUUUAUGACAUGAAAGGAAAGAUUCAAGUUAAAAAAAAAAAAAAAAGCCAAUUUCUCUUUAUUCUGCAAGCUGAAAUGCCAAUCUGUUGGCACUUUAGUAGAUGUGGUUAAUGGAUUACCUCUUGAAAUUCUUCUAGGACAACAAGUUUAUAAAAUAUGGCAAGCUGAUGAUAACAUUACCUAAACACAAGAUAUGGAUGUAUUGAUUGAAACUAUGCUUAAAAAGGAGUUGGCCAAAAUGGAAGGUUCUUCUUUUGUGAUUGUUGAUCCAAUAUGUAUGCUUUUGAAGCAAAAUUUAUUAGCUGACACUUUAGGACAGAUUUCCCUGUUCACUGAUUAGUAAUGAGUUUGAUGGUUGUCCAUGGGGUAAUAUCACACUAAGCAAUUGAGAGUUUACUUUGCCUUCACCAUCGUACAGCAGUUCAGGAGCUCAAAACAUAAGAUUAGAUAGCAUAUCAUACAUCUGAAUAUAGUCAUAUGAAUCUCACCCAAACCCUAUAUAUGGUCAUCUACAUGACAAUAAAUAAAAAAUUAGAAAGUCAUUGACGAUUCAAUAUUGUUUAUACAGGCACAAGGACUUUAGAAAUCAGAGAAUUGAAAAAGAAGAAGAAGAAGAAGAGAGAGAGAGAGAGGCCACUGUUGAGAGUCAACCUCCCUUGCACGAUUAUAUUCAAGAUAUACAGAGAUUAAAAGAUCGACAAAAUCACUUUGAAACAGGAAGUCCUAGCUAGAAAAUCAAAACAAAUUUUCUUUUGAUGAGCAACCAGGAUUUGAUUGUAUGAUCUCAACGUUCCAGUAAUCUUUUCAGUCAACUGAAAAGUGAACAAUAACAUAUUAUACAGCAAACAAGCAUGACAUCGACUUGUCUUUUAGCUGAAAUAAAUAAAUAAAUAAACAAAAUCAAAAAAAAAAAAGAAGUCUGAGGGUAACAACUAACAUAACAUCGAAUGAAGAACAAAGAGUUCACCUUCAGCCUGCUUCGAUGUGGUUGCCGAAGGAUUUGCCAUCUCUGCCUUAUCACUGAUGGCCCCGUUUGCUGCAGGAGACCUACUGCUUGUGUCUCCAACCCCACUGGCGUCACCGUUAGAUGCUAUUGCAGCACAAGCACCCCCAUUCACGGAUGCAGAUGAAUGAAGUGGCUCUGAUUCAGAAUCAGCAAGAUUGGACCGGAAGGUCCGCCCCUUGUUUCUGGCCUUGUUAGAUUUUCUAGCCAUUUUUUGAUCCUAAUGCCAGUAUAAUAAAUCAGCGCAUAUUCAAAAGAAAUAUAGUUACCUCUACUACAUUACCUAACCAAAUCAUCCUUCCACUGCAAGUUUAAUGUAACACAUAGACGACAAGUAAUAGACAGCAAGCACUACUAAUCAGUCGGCACAGCGCUUUUUGUGUUUUGAAGCCAAAAAUUACCGUCAAUUAGUAAAAAAAAAAAUUACUAAAAAUGACAAAAAUAUACGUUUUUUAUUCAUUCAAAUAUGCCAUCUUUACCGAUCAAUCUUCCCCAUGUCAAACACCGGCGGUCAACGUAGAAACAAAGAUAAAAGAACAACAAAUAAAUAAAUUCCAUCAACGGGAGAUGAAAAAUAUAAUCGACAUUAAAAUUUAAAAAAAAUAUAUUCAUCUUAUAUCUACUAAAGAUAUAAUUGAUAUUUUGUAUAAUUAAAAAAAAAAAAAGUGCUCAACCAAAUAUAAGCUAUCCUGUAAUAAAUUAUUUUUUUAUGAACAAUCAAAUAUAUCAAAAUUUUAUUUUUAAAAAAUAAUUUUUUUAAAAAUAAUUUUUACAAAAAAAAACAUUCAUGAACCAAACAAAUCCUAAAAUAUUUGAGUUGGAAAUUUGCUUGUCUUCAUUCUUCAGGGGAUAGGAAACAUCGUGAAGAAUAUAUUCGGCCUUCUUGUAUUGAGUGAUUCGCCGCUAACAAAGCAGGAAAAACUCUAAUUUUUCUCAAAGUGGUCCGUGAAAAUUGUGGCACCCACAUGGUUAUGCAUGUCCUCAAACCUGCGAGCUAUAUCUAAUUAAACUUGACAAUUACACCCGACCUAGAUAAGUCCUGACCCGAUCUGGCCUAAUAGAUCGGGUUGGUCAAUAUGUUGAAUGAGUUUUGAUCCAAACCUGAUAAAUUUAUAUCUCGGAUCGGAUCGAGUUCAGAUAGUGACCGCUCUGAUCCAAACCUAAUCCGAUCGUAUGUAUAUAUAUUAUUCAAAUGUGAGCUGGUUGUAUGAAAUAUGGGCCUCAUGGCCUUUAGGCUUGGUUAAGGCCUUAAGAGCUGAAAAGUAGUAGUGAACUAUUGUUCAAUGCUUCUAUUUUCAUCUAAAAAAUCUUAUUUAGGUAGGAUGGAUAUCCAAUCAGAUAAUCCGAUAUCCAAUCGGACAGAGUAUAGAUAAAAAAAGUGUUGACCCACCAGAUCAUAAAUCGGAUUCGAAUCAAAAUAUUCUUUCAAGGUCCACCACUAAGUUUUGCAAAAUAUCAAUAAAUAGUUAGGAUGAAUACUAAAUAGUGAUAUAAUAUUAUAUUAAUAUUAUUUUAAUAUUUAUAUAAAUAUAAUAUUAAUAUUAAUAUUAUAAUAUUUAUUAUAUUUUAAUAUUUANNNNNNNNNNNNNNNNNNNNAUAUCUACUAAGGAUAUAAUCGUAUAUUUUACAUAGUUUUUUCUAAAAAAAUAUGUGCUCAACCAAAUAUAAGCUACUCUGUAAUAAGUCAUUUUCACAUGAUCAAUCAAAUAUAUCAAAAUUUUAUUUUCAAAAAAUAACUUUUCAUAAAAUAACUUAUAAAAAAAAAAUUUUCACAAAUCAAACAAAUCCUAAAAUAUUUGAGUUGAGAAUUUGCUUGUCUUCAUUCUUCGAGGGAUAGGAAACACCACGAAGAAUAUGUUCAACCUUCUUGUAUUGAGUGAUUCGCCGCUAGCAGAGUAGGAAAAACUCUGAUUUUUUCUAAAAGUCAUCCAUGAAAAUUGUGGCACCCACAUGGUUACGCGUGUCCUCAAGCCUGCGAGCUAUAUCUAAUUAAAUUUGGCAAUUAUACUCGACCUAGACGGUCCCAACUCGAUCUGGCCCAAUGGGUCAAGUUGGUCAAUAUGUUGAACGGGUUUUGUCCUAAACUGACCCAAACCCGAUAAAUUUAUAUCUUAGAUCAAAUCGAGUUUGGAUAGUGGCCGCCCUAACCCAAACCCGAUCCGAUCUUUUAUAUAUAUAUUGUUCGAAUAUGGACUGGUUAUAUAAAAUAUGGGCCUUAUGGCUAGUACUGUCAAAAUGGACCGGCUCAGACCGGCCUAUAAGGGUCUAAAAUUUAAUAGGCCGGGCUAGGCCCAUCCAAAAAAUGGGACAUAAUAUUGCUGGCCCCGUCCAGCCCUUUAAGGACCGUGGGCCGGACUAAGCCAGCCCAUGGACCUUGAAUCUCAAAUGACUGAUAAAAAAAACUAAUAAUUUGAUAAAAGAAUCAACAUAUCAUCAAUUGAAAGUUGAAACAUCAUCAAUUCAACCAUUUAAAAUUCAAAAAUUCAACCCAAACAUUAAUAAAAUAGAAAUUAAAAAUUUCCAACAUCACCUAUUCAAUAAUUCAUCACACUAAACCAUGUAAAAUACUAAAAUUUAAUGUCCACAAUAAAUCAUAUUUCACUAUCUUCAUUGGUUUCUUCCUCAAGCUGUACGACAUUUGAAUUGGAAUAAAAUCUAAUACUAAUGGUAAUAGAGUUUUUUUUUAAUUUUCAUGACCCACCUGGGCUAGCCCGAUCCAACCCAUAUUAGCCCUUGGGUUGAUGUAGGGUUGGCCAAACAGGUCUGAUUGUUAUUUGGGCUGUUCAUAUGGCAGCCCAGCCCACCCUAUUUAUAGGGUUGGAUCGGACCGGUCCUGUGGGCCAAGCCCAUUUUAACAGUCCUACUGGCCUUUAGACUUGAUUAAGACCUUAAGGACUGAAAAGUAGUAGUGGGUUAUUGUUCAAUGCUUCUAUUUUCAUCUAGAAAAUCUCAUUUAGGUAGGACAGAUAUCCGAUCAGAUAAUCCGAUAUCCAAUUGGAUAGGGUAUAGAUAAAAAAAGAAUUGACCUACUAGAUCAUAGAUUGGAUUCGGAUUAAAAUGCCAAGAUAUCAUAUUAGAUUUAGAUCGAUCCAAACCCGCACCCGACCUGACCCAUUGCCAACUUCUAUAUCUAAUCCAUGUUGAAAAUGUUAAUGGCAUGUAAAAACAAAAAUCAUAUGAGAUGAACACUAUAAAAUAUCAUGUGGAUCGUGCUUCCUAGUUUAUCAAUUUUUUAAAUAUCAAUUUUAAAAAUAAGUUUAAAAGUUAAAAACUUUUUUCACUAAUAGAAUUAUUAGUUUUAUAAUUAAAAAAUAUAUUUUGUUUCUUUCUCAUUUUUAGCAUAAAAUCUUUAACAAUAUAUACUAUAUGGCCAUAUGAUACAUACUAAAAAGAAUUUGGUCCGAAAAAGUUAGGGUCUAAAAUCAAAAUAAAAAUAAGUGACUUCGAUUCUAAUUGUUUGGUUAGGAGGAGUCCUAUUUCGAUUUCAAUUCUAAGACGGAAUGAUAAUGGUCCAAUUUAUUGAAAACUCAAUCCCUAUUCUCCCCUAAGCAUUCAAAUUUUUAUUUUGAUUUUCAUUCCAAUAACGAACCAAGUGCUUCGAGGGAUUUGACCAUUCUAAUUUCGAUUUCAAUCCAUUCUAAUUUCCAUUUUGAUUCUAAUUCCGAUUAUGAACUAAACACCUUCUAAAUAAAUUAAUCAUCAAACAAGUUAAUAUAUACAAAUAAAUAAAUCGAUACAUAAUUUUCAGAAUAUGGAGUUCAUCAAUAUAUAGUAUAUAGUCAAAUGAUACAUAUUUAGCAAAUUGAUACAUAAUUUUUGAAAUAUUAUAUUUAUCAGUAUGUAAUACAUACUUAUCGACUUCCUGAUAUAUAAUAUAUGCUUCUUUUAUAUACACCCAAUAGUAAUCCAAUCCAUAUAUUCUGAUAAAAAGUAUAGCUGUGUAUUAAUUUAUUUUGGAGGUGUAUAUUAGACCAUUUCAAGUGUAUAUCAAAGAAGCUUGCAGUAUAUAUCCAAAAAUCAAUAAGUGCAUAUCACCAUAUCAUAUAAUAUAUACUAGAGAAUAUAAUAUUUUAGAAACUGUAUAUCAAUUUACUAGACAGCGUAUAUUAGAUUGUUAAAUGACUAAUUUAUCAAGUAUGUAUUAGUUAUUUCUAUGUUAUGUAUUGAUGAACUUCAUGUUCUAAAACUAUGUAUCGAUUUAUUUAUAGGUAUAUAUUGGAUCACUACUAGAUAUACAUCAAAAAAAAUCUAUAAUAUCUAUUAGAAAAUCAAAGUCGAUGAAUGUGUAUCACCAUGCUAUAUAAUGUGUACUAGUAAAUAUAAUUUUUGAAAAUUAUGUAUCUAUUUACUUGGAGAUGUGUAUUGAGUUACUAUAUGACUAAUUUGCUAAUAUAUAUCACCUGGCUCUGUAUUAUGUAUUAGUAAAUUCUAUAUUCUAAAAACUAUGUAUUUAUUUAUGUGAAGGUGUGUAUUGACAUGCUUAAUGAUUAAUUUAUUUAGUAUAUCAAUUGGCCAUAUUGUAUGUAUUAAUUAAAAGUAUAUUAUGAAAAUGAGGAAGAAAAAAUAUCAUAUUUUUUUUAUUUUUAUUACAAGACUAAUGAUUCCAUUAGUAGGAGGAAUUUUUGAUUUCUGUAUUUUUUUUUAAAGAUUGGCAUUAGAAAAGUAUGGCAAAAUAAGAAGCCCGUCCUAUACGAUACACCCCAUAUAAUAUUUGUAAGGUCCUUUUGAACUGAAUGUGAUUCAAAAAUACUACCUUUAUUGUCUUUAGGCAAGGAUAAGGAGUUCUGUUCUAUGGAUAUCAACCCUAGCUUCAAUGCUCCAUUAUACCAAGUUUUGGUUUACCAGGUAGUAGCUCGAUCUAUUGUACGACUUAGGCCUCCAUCCAAUUAGAGUUAGGGAUGAUAAUUUAUGACGUGACCUUUCAACCUGAUCCAUAAUUGAUCCGAUUUGGAUUUGGAAUGGAUUUUAAUGGAUAAAUGAGUUGAUCUGCUUGAACCUAUUUAUUGAAUAGAUUGGAUUUAAAUUUAGACAUUUGAUCUAUUUAAUCUCUUUUUGACCCAUUUAAUGAUUGGAUCAGAUUACGACCUAAUCUGCUUAACCCAUUUAAAACCUAUUUAACUCAUUUUAUACCCAUUUAACAUAACAAGUUUAACUUGUUUGAUCCAUUAAUUUUCUAUUCAGCUUGAAAUUUGACUUAACAUGGCUCUCUUGAUCAUUAAACAAGCCAAGGUAAAGCAUGGCUCAAUUAAACAUAGUAAUAAAUAAAAGAAUAAAAGGAUUACAUGCAUUUCAUAUUACUUAGUUUUAUGAAUAAAUAUUGUUUUAUAUAUAUAUUUAUUAAAAACUUCUAUAAUUUAUAUGUAGAGAAAUGCAUUGAAGCAAUAAGAGAAAGAUACGACAUUGAAAAUUAGCUCAAAACAUAAAAUAUGAAAUCUUUGAUGCUCAUAGGUCCUCACAUCGUUGCCAAAUCUCAAGGAAAUGUAUAUAGAUAUCCAAAAUUCAGCUUUCAAAGCAAGUGUAUUGUACCCCUAGCUCAACUUGCAAGAUAUUAAGUUAGAUAUGGGUUUAAAUCAUUUGAGCUUAGUUCAUUUGCAUUCCUAUAUGUAAAGUGGCUGCUUGCCGGCUUGCUCGAGAAUAGGUAUUCUAAAUGAAACCAUGAUUUAAUUAUGAGGGGUGAUGAGAUGAUGUUAGCUUAGUUGCUUCAACUUUGUAAUUUUUUCUAUUGAGAGAAAAAGAUAAGUUGCACUAUUUGAAUGUUUUACAUUGAUCGUUUUACCAAAUGAUGUUUCAUUGGACCUUUUGCAAUAAAAUUCGUGCAAGCUAACUAGCAUAUUAAAGUAACAAUUUAUAUAUAGAAGCCUUAGGUUUCUAGCCCCUCUAUCUCUCUCCUUUGCUUUCACAUACAAACAUAAAGAGCGAAGGAAAGGGAGAUCUUAGCAAUUCUAUGAUGCAUGUCAUAAAAAUAAAUAUGAUUAAACAUCUGAUAUUGCAAUUGUAUCCUACUAUAGUCAUGAUGUUUGAUAAUCUAAGAUCGAAAUUGUUAAUGGAUCUAGCAAGAAAGCACAACGUGCCAUCCAAACUUUAGCAGAGCUUUAAAUUUUUUAAAUAUUUAUAUAUACCUUGAUUUAUCUAGAUAACAAGGCAAUUGUUUUUAUGAGUCCGACCUAUUUUAGCUUUUAAAUAAAGCAUUUCACCACCAUCCAGUUUAGAAUGCACCCCCAUCCAAACAAAAGUGUCAUUUAACCUAAUGUGAAAAUUGUGCAUACUAUGCUAUUUUUGAAGAAAUGUGAAAAGAGAAAUCUUAUCCUAGCUCAUGCAAACAUUCGAGCACAUGGGGAUUGAAUUGAAGGGUUAGCUAAGUCAUGAAUUGCCAUAUUAUCGUCAACAUGUUCCUAACAAAACAUUUCAGGUAACGGAGCAGCACCACGCAAUUUUUCUCACAAAAAUGCAAUGCUACGUCAUGAUGCCCUAGCAAGAUACCUUUAUAUUACUACAAAGCAUGGUACUUGUGUGUACCAUCUUCAAACAAAUUUUAGCAAGAUCAUGAGUUAUUAGUUAACAAAGUGGCACAUUUAAGCAUAUAAACUUUUGAGCUAGCAAAAGUACAAAAAUAUUAUACAUGAAUAAUGCUAGAGUUUUUGAUUUUAGAUUGGUGUUAGGAUAAAUAUUACAAAAUAAGAAGUGCAUCCCAUAUUCCUUUCUCCGGUGCAUUUUCUCUGUGAUUUUUGUUCACGCAUGUCCCCUAAGUCACGUGAACAUCAAUGUGGAGUGCAAAAACUUUUGCAAUAAUCAAUGCUUCAUGUAUAAGUUUUAAUUGUACAUUGAUUGCCACAUUUUGUAGGCUUUAAUGGACCCUUCAUCGAACCCGAACACCCCAAAAUAGAAACAGACCUAGCCUGAAAGCCACUUCAAUCGGACCCUACAAAAUACAUAAAAUAUUUUUUUAAUAAAAAUAUGUAAACAAGUGUAAAAUUUUGAGCAUCAAUCUAACGUAUAGAGAAUUAUUGAUUAGAACCAUUCUAUCCCAUAUAUACCUUGCACAAUUCAAUAAAAAAUUAUCAUAUCAUUUAUUAUUGAAAAAAAUUAUUAUUAUUCAAAUUUGAUUUGAAAGUUUUGGAAAAAAAAAUAUUAGCUGAUAUUCUUUAUUAAUUUGUAUAAAAAAAUAUUUUUUUAAAUUAAUAUAAUUAUUUUUUACUGGAUGAUGUAAGAUUCAUAUUAUAGAACGAUUUUAAUCAAUAAUUAUUCCUGAUGCGCACCGCUGCCCCCUGGGACGCAGCGCAGCCCAUUUGCUACGAUGGUGACCGCAACAUAGUCACCCACCUUGUAGAUAAGAAACCGGUGAGCUCGGGUUGGAAAUGAGACCUCACGUCAAGCGGUCUUCAACUCUUCCCCUCUCCAGGAAUGCGACUACCGUCACCGCCGGUCAGACUAGCCGCCUAUUCCAAGUUGAAUACCAGCUUACGUCUCAGAACGUGGACCUGGUGACUUGUUUAGUUGCACGAUCAAAAAACGAGGUACGUUAAGGGGAGGUAAAGGGACACUCUAGUUCCCUGGUCUAAAAUAUCUUCGUCUGCACUUUUUGGAGAUUUUUAGUCCGGAGCUCGCGUUUCCAAAUCCACUUCCGGCUCGCGUCCCAUGGGAGACGAACCCGGUGGCGGCGCCGACGCGGUCCCGCCGGCGACGGAGGCGGCGAUGGUGGUGGUCGUGGACGAGGAGAGGCGGGCGACGCUGCUGCGGAACAUAACGGUGGAGGGGGGUUUCGCGUACGUGAGCUCGGCGGAACUGGCGGCCGGUGGGGACCUCCGGGCAGCGGAGGCGGCGAGGGAGAUGGCGUGGGAGCAGCUCCACUCUGGGCCGUGGCACGAGGUCGUCCCGGCUUGGCGGGACGCUUACGCCAUGGCUUGCCUCCACGUGGCGGAGCUCCGGGCCGGCGCUGGCGAUCGCCGGGAGGCCCUCCGGGCGCUCGACAUGGGGCUGAUGAUGGGCGGCCCGCUCCUCCGCUGCGAUCUCCACGCCGCGGUGGAGAGAAUCAUGGCGAGGAGCGGCGAAGGGAAGGCGGAGGGAUCCGACGGGGGGGAUUCAGUGGAGAGGUGGAAGGAGGAGUUCUCCAAGAACUGGGACUUGACGGAGGUUAGGAAAGAGUAUUUCUUUUCUCAAUAAAUUUAUAUUUUUCAUUUAUUAUUGUUAUCUCUAAUUUAUUGGGAAGAAUUCAUUGCAAUGCGAUAGUAAUGAAGUUUUGGUGGGAUUGACAGACUGAUAGGGUUUGGAUUACUGUUAUGCUUACGUUGGAAAUUUAAACUUGAUUUGUUACUUAAAGCUUUUCCUUGUCCGAUUUGUUUGGAAAUGGUUGAUAUCGACCGUACACUGAGCUCAUCAAGCUUUGAUGGACCAUUGCUGGAAUUUUAUGUAGCCCUGGUAUUUAUUUAUUUAUUUGUUUGCUUGAUUUCUUUUGCAAUUUCUAUAUUUAUUUACAAGCAUGGGAAGUAUUUAUGAAUUAUCCUACCGUUUGUGCAAUUUCAUUGAAAUGCUUUCGCUUUAUAUUUAUGUGGAGUUGGAUUUUUUUUAAAAUAUAAUUCUGGGUUUGCUGUUUAAAAAUUGUUUUAUUAUAUUAUUGUUAUCAUCAAUUUUGUGUCUUUUUAAUGGCCAAUCCAUGUUGUUAAAUUUCAAUGUUAGCAAUCUUUUAUAUCAAAACAAUAAGAUUUUACAUGUACAAUAUUAAAAUUCUGUACUAUUAGAUUAACUCAAGAAACUUAGUUGCGGUUUUAUUAUUUUGAUAGAUGAUGCGGAACAGAGUGGUAAGUAAUGAGUUUAUGCUAUUGUCUAUUGAUUCUCAUCUUGUAGGUGCUUCGAGUUCUGCCAAGCAGAUCAUUAUCCUGCAAAAUAGUCGAGAAACGGUCAUCCCUUUCUUUGGAGACAUUUAUACGCGAUUAUUUUUUACGUGAUUGUCCGGUUAUAAUCAGUGGCUACAUUGAUCAUUGGCCUGCAAGGACAAAAUGGAAAGACAUUGAGUAUUUGAAAAGGAUUGCAGGAGAUCGAACUGUCCCUGUUGAGGUGAAUAGCCUUUCUCUUUGUAGGUGAUAUUUGAUCCUCACACAUCGUGGCAUGAUAUUUGGAGAGCAAGUUGCUUAUUGUCAAUAGAUUGUUUAUGUUGGAUCUAUAUAUUUGAGAAUUCUGUACUCAACCUGAUGAGUAGAAUUUGUGAACGUGAUCCAUGCACCUCUCCUCAAGCAAAUGCCCUUUAUUGACAAAAAUAUAACCUAUCAUCAUAUCGAAGAAGCAAGGCUUAUGAUUGAAGACAAAGUUGGGAAUCCACCAAGUUGACUCAUGACUCAGCUAUCUUGGACCAAUCACUUGGUGGGUGAAACUGAUGUAAUCAAGCAAAUCAAGCAUGGCGCAGAUAACAUUAAUGCAGAUUUUGAUCUGACCUCUCCAUUGGAUAUGUUGUUUAUAUUUUGAGGUUAUACUUUUGGAUAUUAGUCUUUGUGGUUUCAUUUAAAUGUAUCUGUUUACGAUUUUAGUAAUUUUAUAUCCUUCACUCUUUGGUUUUCACAAAUUUAUGAUAGUCUUUUGAUACUAUGUUAUUUGGAUAUAACAAACAUUGGAAUGUGUUGCUAUUGGCAGAUUAAAGGUGAACUUUUUACCCUCUAAUUAUUGAUAUUUAAAGGUAGCUAAGAUGAUUGUUUUGUGUUAUGAGGUUAUGUAUGUAUAAAUAUAUAAUGCAUAUGUGCAUGUCUGCAUGCAUGCUUUUAGAUAAUUCGUAAGUGUUUUGUUUUAGUUUGGAUUCUAAAUUUCUUCAAUUGAAUAAAAAAUAUAAAUACUUACAUGAUAGCAUUUUUUUUAAAAGAUAUUUGGAAAAAAAUUCUUUAUGUUUUCAAUGGUACAUAUACAAUCAUGACUUGUCAAAGCCUGAAUAGCUUGAGUCAAAUGAUCAAACAAGUCUUAGGUUUAUUGACUUGGUUUUGGUUAUGCUAUAAUAUAACUAAUCUACAAGUUUUCUUCAUCAGUUAAUAUUUAUCUGGUUGACACAUGGAAAGAUAUAUCAGUUAUAAUUUAUAUUUAUCUCUUUCUGUUUUAUUUUACAUUUGUUCAGUUGACUAAAUGCUUCUUAAUUUUUAUGUUUAUAUUUGUAUGCAUUUGUCUUCAUGCAUGCUCUCAUUUGCUUGUUCAUUAAGUUUUCAUGAUUCUUGCUUGAGAGGGAAAUGUUUUUGGCUUAUGUUUAGCAUUUGAGCUGAAGUUUGGUAAAGUUGCUAAUAUUUUCAGGUUGGAAAGAAUUAUCUCUGCUCUGAGUGGAAGCAAGAGCUAAUCACCUUCUCUCAGUUUCUUGAGAGGAUCUGGUCCACUUACAGUUCUGCCAACAUGACAUACCUAGCUCAGCAUCCCUUGUUCGAUCAGGUUUCUCAGUCAUUUUCUAAUGCUAAAUUUCUGCACCAUGUUAGGACUGUAUAGUAGUAAAAUAGUGAUUUUUGAUUUUUGUCACUACUGACUCUUUAAAUUUAGAUACAAGAGCUGCGCAAUGACAUCAUGAUUCCAGACUACUGUUUUGCUGGUGGCGGGGAGCUCCAGUCUCUAAAUGCUUGGUUUGGUCCACUUGGAACAGUGACACCACUGCACCAUGAUCCACACCAUAAUCUUUUUGCUCAGGUAUAUUGAGAUAACCAUGAUAAACAUGGUAACUGAUAUUUGACAAUGUUAUAACUUUAAAUACUUUAUAUUCAUAUUGUUAGACCUACUAGAUUGCUCCUGGUACUUAUUGCCCUUAGAGUGAUUCCAUUGAAAAUUUCUUUUUUCUGGUUGUUCCUAGUAAAUGUAACCUUCUUCUAGGUUUAGUAAAUUGUCAAGUAAAAAUAGUUUCCUGAGUCAUUCUCAUUGAUCUUGCACUGUGUAGAAUUUUAGACAGCAGUAACAGUGAAAUGAAUCUUUGUCAUCGUGAUGCUUCAUGGAAGGCACAGGAUCACACAUUUGUGCACAAUAAUGCAGAAGACAUCUCCCUCAUUUGUAUUGCAUACAUUCUGAAUUCAACUCUAAUUUAUGAUUUUUUUUUUUUGGUCACUAAGAAACAUUUAGAAUUCACUUAAGGAAGCUGGGAUUUGCAUGUGCUUUUGUUUACUGUGACCAUUGCAAAAGCAACAUGUAUCUUGUCUAUUUGGGAAUUGGGAUCAACUUGAUAAAUCCUUUCCUAUUGUUCUUAUUGUAAUCACUUUUCAAAUAUGCAAACAUUUGGGUUACUAAUAUAUGCUAUAUAAAAGUCUUGGUUCAGCCAUAUGUUUUGUUUACCACCCUAGAGGUGAAUUGGAAGUUGGAACCAGAGCUUUUCCCAUUAGGGAGGCCAAAAUAUGCAUUUGCUAAAAAACAACAAGUUAUUACAUGAUUCAUCAUGGAAAGUAAUAAACUGAUGUUGAGGUAUAUUCAUUCUGUUAUCAUCUCUUGCUUAUAUUUCUUCUAGACCAUCUCCAUAUUGUUGUCAACCACCAUAAUUGGCACUUUGGAAAAUAGGGGCAUUUUUGGUUAUAUGCCUCUGCAUUAUUAAUAUUAGCGUCAAAUUGGGUGCUGAUGUGUUUUUCCAGCUGUUAAAGUAUAACAAAACUAUAGCCUUUGCAUGGGUUCAUCUAACUGAAGACUUGCAAUUUUGUGGCACCCAAGAGCAUUGCAGGUGUAGGAAAUUCGAUGCACAUGUUUCUGCUGUGGAUUAAUUUCUCAAUUCUGACAGUGCUCCAUAAAUUUUUCAAUUCUGAUUUGCUUCCAGUAUUCGCAGUUCUUGCAACAGUUGUAAGCCAAUCAUUCUUAUUUUGUGCAUGAUUCUUCUGAAGUUCAACAUCUAAGUUCUAUAGAAUCUCUUUGAGGGUCCCAUUUGCUUCAUUUUUCCCAAACCCACAUGCCAAUACUUGUGAAUGAUUAUGACAACAUUGUAUAUGUUCUUACGAGGGUGCUAGACAUGCCCUCUUUAUUUUUCAUUUUUAAUUUUUUCCUGAAUUAGAGUGAUAUUUCAUCUUUGAUACUUGCUAAUAAAAAAUUGUCUCAAAUCUUUGUUCUGGUGGAUCCAGUAGAAAGAGGCUUUUAGUCUUUUAUCAACCAAAUGGAACCAUGUUCUGUGAUCAGAUCCAAUAUGUUGCGUAUGCAGCAAACUACUUUGAAAUAUUCUGUCAAGCAUUUACUAGUUGAUUCCUACCAUUAUGUAAAGAAAAUUCAAAAACUUAUAUUUAUUAUUCUGGAUCCAUUGAUAAUAUGCUAUAUGUUAGGGAAGGUGAUGACAUGUCCGGUGUCUUGCCAGAGGGUUGAUUAGGUUUGCUACUGAGUUGUCAAGCAUUCCAUAGACUGCUGAUGGAGUUGCCAUUGAGAUGUACUUUUACCACAAAUGAUCAACCUGCUGUGACUGCCUAGUUGAUAGGAGCAAGUGAUGCCCUAGUGUUUCAACUGGCGCUCCUUAUGCUCAUAGUUGUAUAUAAUAUAAAGUGCUGUUUUUUUAAUUUAUAUUUUGACUACCGGUAAUCAUCAAUGUGAUGUGCAAAUGAAGCUGAAACCAAGCCGUUGCUUGUUAGUAAAGGAAAAGAAAGAGUGGUUUUUCACUCAUGCUUGCCUGCUUGUCAUAAAAUCAUUUUUGAAUAGUUUCGUGUAUUCUUCCUCAUUUUCUUUUGCUUCCACAUUUGUUUUCAAUUGUCUUCUUCUCUUUCACCAUUUAUUUUGUAUUUUUAGACCCCUUAGCUCCUCUUCCUCCUGCCAAGUUCAUGAUGUCUGGCAAGAACAAAGCACAGGUUGAGACAUCGUAGGACCUCCUUUAAUGUCCAAAAGAGUUUAUCAUCAUGUUCUUCUUAUCUUGGAAGGAGACAUUUGGAUUAAUAUAUUUUGGGAAGAGAUUCCUAUCUUAGUCCCCUGCAUUUUGUGCAUUCCCUUGAAAAGAUGCAUGUGUAAUGCAUGGUAGAGAGCCCCACAAGUAGGUGAUAUCCACUAAUUUUUUAGAAACAUCCUUUUAAAAGAUUUCUCCAAGAAUAAUUAGCGACAAUUAAUCCUCUAUGUUAAUUGUCAAGUAAUACCUCAAGACUGCAUGACAAUUCAUGGAUCCCUUAAAAAUGCAGCAUGCAUAUUUUGUAGUGGACUUGUCCUGGUCGGUUAGAAUGGCAACAUCUGUGUUAAUCCCACGAAAAUUAUGUCCUGGAUAAUUUGAUUGGCAAUGCUCAUCAUAAGGUUAGAUGAAAGUUGUCAAACACAUGUUUUUCUUUAGCAUGCUGUUCAAAAUUUCAUUAAUUGGUAAUCCAAGCAUAAUAAUCAUCAUAGCUUAAAAAGGUGUGUCUCAGUUCAUCCACCAACUAGCUGAUCAAGAAAUACUGAGCCCAUGUGAGCUUUAUCUCAGUUCCUAACAUGUUAACAAAAAACUGAUAUAAAGGUGCUACGAAUUGUUAAAUCAUAAUUUGUGCUGGUGCAGCUAGCGCCCAAAGUGCUUAACGAAGUGACAUCUGGGCAAUCUGAUUUGUGUUUUCAUAUUUUCUUUCCAUAUAAAUUGUUGGAAGGUAGGCACAUCAACACUUGAGACUUAUUGUUCUCUUCUUUUUCCUGAUAUAUAUGUAUAGGUUGUGGGCAGAAAGUACAUUAGACUCUAUCCAGCUUCAGUUUCAGAGGACUUGUACCCUCAUAGUGAGUCCAUGCUGAGCAAUUCCAGCCAGGUAUAUGCAGUUUCUCUUAGCAUCUCUUAGAAAGAACUAGGGAUGAUGGUGUUGAUCUUCAAACAAGAAUGGCAAUUAUCCCCAUAUAAUUUUUGUCUUUGAAUCCCGGUAAAGGGCAUGACUUUGUUCUGUUGUGAACUUUUCCAUUGGACAAUGCUCUACUUCUCCAAUACAGAUGAAGCAUUUAUAUGUGUUAACAUAAAUAUGAACAUGCAAAGUCUAGUUUAUCUUUUAGAUAAGAACUGUGUUAGUAGUUUUGAUAUAUAGCGUUUGAAGCUUGUGUCGUUGGAACUUGGCACUAUUUCUGGAGACUAUCUUUCAAAGAUUUUUCCCCACCAAACAUAAUUAAUCAUGUGCAGACCACUCUCACCUCUUCGUAAAAUCAGUUUAUAUACCAUAUCCAAAGAUUGUUUCCAAGUUUUUUUUUUACAGUGUUCUGAUUUCUGAUGAAAUUAUACUUGCAGGUGGACCUUGACAAUAUUGACCUGAAAGAGUUCCCUAAGGUAGAAGAUCUGGACUUCACAGAUUGUAUCUUAGAGGAAGGUGAUAUGCUUUACAUUCCACCCAAGUGGUGGCAUUAUGUGAGGUCACUUUCCACAAGCUUCUCUGUUAGUUUUUGGUGGAGUGGCACAGGGCCAUCAUAGUGUUUAUAGUAGUUGUCUUAUAAUUUUCCAUACCAUUUGCCUUACGGGUAUUGGACAUCCAAUGAUAGAAAUUUAGAACCUCAUUCUACCCACUAUUUGCGAUCCAUCAUCAUGGGAACGUCAUGUUAACUUAUACAUGGUUGUUUUUGUCUACUGAUUGAAGAAAAUAUACCAUAACAAACUUUCUAGUUAUCAAACAUUUCUUCUACCUGGUUAACAUUUGAUGUAGCUUUUUGCUGCCAUGACUUACUGAGGCAAGAGAAUCGCUUCCUGUAACCAGUUCAAUCUGCAUUAAUCCAUUUCAAAUUGAUCUAUAAAGAUGAAUGAUGCAUCUGACGAGAAAAAAAAUCGAUAUGUUUUGUUGUGGGGUGGGGGGCAUUUUUUUUCCCUUCAUUUUUUGAAAGGAAACAGAAGUAAAGGAAGAGAGAAUUACAUAGAAGAAAAAGAAAGAAAAAGGAUUAGAUUUGAUCUAAUCCGAAAACAAGUAAAGUUUAGAAACAAAGAGACCCAAGCCAAUACCAAAUAAUGGAUGCAUCAAGUAGUUGUUUUUAGGAACAAAGUAUAGACCUGCUGUUAGAGAGCACGGUUGUUCAUUAAUGUGAUUCAGGUGAAAUGAUUUUGUUCAGAAAUAUUCUUGCUCUCCCUCUAACAAUUAUAAAAGCAGACAAAUUUUCCCGACACGGAGCUGAAAUUCUUUGAAUGGUAGUUUCUUCUCCAGGUAGUCAAACGCCAAUGUGCAUUAUUUAGCUAGGCCAGGAGUGAUUGCCAAAUUUGACGAAUAACAGAAUUUAAGGAAGAUUCCGCGGUCUUAUUGUAGAAGGCACAACCUCCUGAGUUUGAUCCAGUUUUCUUCUUGAGAUUUUCUUUGUUGCUGAGUUUGUUUGAAGAUGAAACACAGAAAAUUAUUAUGUUGACAGAGACAAGGAUGGGGCUUCUCUACAGAAUAAAUGCAAAGGGACAUUUCAAGCCUCCUACUGUAAUAGUCAUAUGGUGAAGCUGUGAUGAACUGGUAUGAGAUAUUACUUUGCAGAGGUGGUUGCCCUAACCUGAGAUAGAAUAUCCAUCAAUGAGAUGGGUUCUUGCUGCAACUCAAUGUGCAGAGGAUGAGAGACCUCUGUGCUCCAUGAGAUUUUUCUGUAGCUGCCAUUGCGUUAAGACCUUCCUCAUUUUGUUUCAGCCUAUUCCAGAAGGGUGGAAGGGAAGAAAAUAUGCCUUUCCAGACUGGCAAUACUCUUGUCCUAACUAGAAAAUAUGAUGCAAUUCUAAUUUUUCUAUGAUAAGCUCAUUGAAUUUGUGUCCUCUAGAUCCUCUUUUGACUUGCAAAUUGUCUUCCAAUUGACUAAACAAGAUAAGCCUGAAGUUGAACUUUCAAAGAAAAGCUUUUCUGUGUUUAUCCAACCUCCUAAGGGCCCCAAGUGGUAACUUGUAGAUUGAUAUAAAAUAAUGGAGGAGUGCGGUAAGAAUGGCAUGGACCUAUGUUAGUCUUCCAAGCAAAAAGAAGAAUUUGGACACGUUUGGUUCACAGGAAAAAGAGAGGGAAACGUAUGGUAAUACGAAAAUGCAGAAUGACAUAAUAUUUGGUUGGAGUUUUUCCAGAAAACCAACUUAAUUAUUAAUUAGGGACUGCUAAUCAGUUUAGUGAGCUGAUGUGGAGAGUGGAUGGCUCAGACGAGAUAGAGGUCGCUUCUUUAGUCCGCAGUUCAUCCAGCCGGCACACCUCUAAGAAGCAAUGGAUUAAUUUAAGCAGGCUGUAGAGAAGAUCAACGUGUCAUCUGCGUAAUUGAGGAUCUUUAUGCUGUCUUGAAUACUCAAGGACUGCCAAGUCCUCCAACUAACUCUUUCAUGCCAGCUUCAUGGAAGAUUGGGUUGAGAGGAUCUACUAAGAAGAAAGGCGAGAGGGGAUCGUCUUACACCCUAAGUACAUUGAAACUAAUUUUAAAUAAUUUUAAAUUUCCCCAUUAACAUUAACCACAAAUAUCAAGGAACUUGGAAUGUUUGGGACCCACAUAAUCCAUCCAGAUGGGAAAUCUUUGUAUCUGAUAACUUAUAGAGAUAAUCAAGAUCCAAUUUAUCAGAAGUUUUCUCAGAGUCAAUUUUGUACCUCAUCCCAUCAAAUAGACUUUUUCCUGCUGAAUAAGGUAUCAUGAGUACCUAGGAUGUUAUCUGUAUCUUUCUUUAAUCAAUUAGCGAAUUUAAGUGGGGGAAGAGUCUGUUCACUAAGAUCUUAAAGAUGACCUUAAUACAGCUACAAAUGAGGCUGAUGGGACGAUAAGCAGCCGGUGGGGUUUCCUGAGAGGGGAAGCAUGCAUGAAACCUCUCUCCCUCCCUCUCUCAACUUUGAUGUGAUACAAAGCAGGAGAGCAUUGCUAGUGCAACUCAGAGAUCUCACUGGGGAAACAGCACAACCCGUCUCUGUGACACUUCAUUCAGCUGUUCCUUUUAAACUGACCGACGCCUCUCCUUACUUUCUCAACUAAUUUGAAUUGCAUUAGCCUUCAUCACUUCUAUUCGGGAAGAGCAAUGAUGUGGAGAUGGAUUCUGUUUUUAUUUUUAUUUUUUUCUCAACUUUGUGUGGUGGGAACUGAAGGUGGAACUCUGCUUUUAUGAAAUGUAGUCUUGCUGGUCUGCCUCUUUAGUUUUUGUUCGAUGUAGCAUUCAAUUUGAUAGCAAGGAUUCGCUAGUGAGUAAGAACAUUUAGGCAUUCCUACUUCACGAGACGUGCCAAUGAAAUCUUUUGACAUUCUGGCCCCAAGAUGGGCACCUUUUGGUGAGGCACUUGGGCCUCGGCCUUAUUUCAACCCAUUCAUCGACCCCUCUCCAUCCGUUGGCUGGAUCUGUGAAUUUUGUGGACCCGCUUAAUCCGUGUUUGAUGUGAUCUAUUUUUUAAUUUACUAGUUGACUGUGCAUGUUAAAAUGUCAUGCUGGCGUUCCUUGCCCUACAGCUAGUUGUAAUCGGGUUGUGAAAUAAUUAGCAAGCAAAUCUAUUAACUCACUUGCUGACUAAGGAUCAUACCUUUUUUUUUUUUUCAGAAAAAAAGUUUUUGAGUCUGUUAUUUGGGCUGUUUUUCCCCCCUAGGAGUGAUAAUUGGAUUUUCAUUUUGGUAAAAUUAAUUUAUUAAAUCAAUUGGGAAUAAAAAUAUCUGUAGAAUCGGCAAAUAAGAUAUUAAAAAAUUUAGAAGAAACAUCUAACCAUGUUGUCCAACAUGUAUGGAGCCCAUGUGAUUAGCCACAUACGUCGCUAUCCAAUUUAUAGUAUUUUUUUGCUUUAUCAUAAAUAUAUUUAAUUUUAAAAAUUAUUCAGCUAUCCUCAUUUCCCAACAAUCCUGCCAAAGUGAAUGGUGACCCUAAUUGGAUCUUUUUAGGGAUAGGAGUGAGCUUCCUCUAGUUUUAUGGUACCUUAAAGCUUAUUUCUUAAUAUUUUUAUUAUAACUAUUACUAUCAUCAUCAUCAUCAUUAUUAUUUAUUGGAAACGAAUUUUCUUAAAUUUCUUUGAUGACCAUAUUUUGUUAUCUCAAACGAACAUGUGCAACGAUCAAAGGCAGAUAGCUGGGAGAAGCAAGUCCACAGGAAUAAAGGUAAUUAUUUGCAAGCCUUGUUACCAUCUGAUGGAUACAAAAACCCUCCACUUCUUUUAAUCCUGCUCCCUUUCUGAGGACAGGCGGCCAGUCCUCUUUCCUCGGAUUAUUCGACUUGCAUAAAUUUUCAUGUUGUGCUGUGCUAAUUAAAGUUACCCAUUGCCAAGGAAAAAUGAAGCAAGCAAUCGGCUAAUAAAAACAAAGAUAGCUUGGGCUACUAACCUCACUUUGAGCGUCCUUUUUUAGGUUACUUGAACGAGGCUUAUUCUCAACUAGUAAAAUUUAGUUUGUGCAGACAAGCUUAGUCACAACCUUAAUCAGGAAUGCAAUAGUUACCAAGUCGACCCUAAAUUUUUAAGGGAACCUUCAUUUAAUGAAAAUACGCCAAUGACCACUAUCUAGUUUCUCUCUUUCCCAAAAAACAUGAAUUUGUAUGUGUUAGCGAGUUCUUUGACUAAAUUUGCAACCAGAUUAUGAAUGUGCUUGCUUAAUCCUGCAUGCUAUUGAGAACUGGAAGCGAUCUGUACUAGGUAUAAUGCGUUCCACCGAGUAAAGUAAAGCGAUCCAUCUAAAUUCGAUAAACUAUUCAAUGCAACUCAACCUUUUUCUCUGACUCAGAUGGCUGGGAGCAUUGGUAUAUGUGGGAAAUGACCCAAGUCGUUUGGGGAAGGUAGGGGAUGUCAGUUCUUUAAAAUGGAGGGCUCUGAUAGCUAGUAAAUGGCGUUUUCGAGAGCCCAUUGAUUCCUGUUCGGAGGCCCAUGUCAAUAUGUCCUUGGAUGCUUUUGUUCUCAGCAUCUAGCUAAAGUGGUGAUAAGAGUCAAGAAGUUUGAAAGAGAGCCACUGUGUUACAACCGGAAAGGCCCUUGAAGGUCCCAGGCAAAGGCUAGUGUACCUGCAACCUUACCACUCGAAUGCAGAGAAGAACAAAAAGUUGGAGGAGCACAUGAUGGCAAUUGGUGAGAAACAGGAA